This 74996-nucleotide long non-coding RNA is filed under the name Ananas comosus (pineapple). RNAcentral's name for it is "long non-coding RNA (ACOM_LNC005487)". Lineage: Eukaryota; Viridiplantae; Streptophyta; Magnoliopsida; Poales; Bromeliaceae. The record is from RNAcentral.
AAUACUACCUCUAGCAUGCAAGAAGACAUAACAACUAAUUAAGCACCCUAUAAUGCAUCAUGCUCAAUAUGCAUAAUUAAUCAACCAUAAUACCUAGACAUAGGGAGCAGUUCAACUGCUUCGGGAUGGUCACCACCCACCUUUUAUAGCGUUCCGUUUGCUCGUCGUCACUCGCAAUCGGCCUCCCGCGGCGCACGCCGCUCGGCUCGACCCAACUCACGCGCGACCACCGAACGACCUCCGAUCUGCAAUCCGGAAAUUAAAUGUCUUCGGUUUCUCGUUAUGAUACUCGGAACCCGAUCCCGCGAUUUAUGGAUGCCACCUCGGCCCUCCAGGCGGAAAUGAAUGCCGGAAGGUCCUUUUCUUCAAUAUCUUUGCACCGGCUCGACGAAUCGCCGAACCGACUUUGCCAACGUGUCAGAAUAUCUAGCAAUUAGGUUUACAACCAUCCAAAUGAGAUCAAAACCCUAGAUUUCCUAAAACCCCAUUUUAGAGCCCUAGUUUACAACUACGGCAAAAUCCACCGUUAAUCCUCUAGAUUCUAGCAUUUAUCAUCUAUUUAGCAUGCUAAGAUUCCAAAUAAACUAUUUCUAGAGAUUAAAAUCCAAGCUCUAGUGAUUCACCAUUAAUGAGCAUCAAAGCUUACCUCAACUAAGCUUCUUCUCCAAGCAAAGGAAGAAGAAGAUGAUAGAAACCCUUCUCCAAGCUCCAAUCUCCACCCUUCUCCUCCUCUUGAUCAACUUCUACAGAGAGAGGAAGCUUCCUAGAGAAAGAGAGGGUGUUCUUUUAGGUCUAGGUCAUGAGAAAUGAGAGGGAGAAGAGAACACUUGCUCCUAUACUCUCUCAUAAGUGCACAAAUUGCACAAAAGACCUUCAACUCUCCAAAUAAUGCCCUGCCCCCGCGGGGCCAUUUUUUGUAUAAGGGACCGGUCCUUGGACUUGAGGGACCGGUCCCCGUAGGUCCAGAAAAAUAGCAUUUUAGGACUUAGCAAAAUUUUCAGCUUUUUCACCCUUUCUUUUCCGUUUUCGCUCGUUUAGCCUCCGAUUCUUUUCAAAUCGAACUGAGACUCUCCAAACAUGUUUUCGAGCGUGUUUUCAUCAUAUUUUUAUCCACGCUAACGCCAGAUUUAGUUCACGACCCAACAUAGCCUUUCGGGUCCCUCUUUGCGCCUACGCACACCAAAGCGCCCGACUGCUUCCGGACUUAACCGGAACUUCACCGGAACCAUUCUAAUGGCUCUCCAACCAAAUGUACACCGUAACUUCAUGAUUUUAGAAGUCUGGUACCUUACAUCCUCCCCUCUUUAAAAGGAGUUUUGUCCCCGAAACUAACCACCUCAAAUCUAACACACACAUCAACUCAACUUAUUGAGUAAUCGAGGGUUCCAAUGCACUUUCGCACUCCGGGGUGGCCUUUCACUCAUCAGAGCUAUCCAAAGGCCCACUCUGGAGGAUGUGAGAUCAAGUUCACUCAUAUUUGCUAAGUAGAACAUCGAAAGUGCAUUACUAGCACACAAGGAAUCUCUCCUUGCACUACUCUCCUAAUCGAGGAACACUCCGAUUCGAUCACUGACAUUGCCCAGAAGCAAUAUCAUUGGUGCAUCGAUCAAUCGCGAGUGCUACCAUCACAUCCGGAUCUUUGCUCUACUACGAGAUGGCACACUUCGGCACAUCUCCAAUGUUAAUCCUCAAGAGAGCAAUAUUUUGAAUUCUAUGUGGCUAUCCGGUAUUCAAGUGUCUCCAAGAGACCACUUUACCUUAUCUUUCAAUUGCCACUUCCAACAUCAAAUCGCUCUACAACGAACUCACACGAACACUCUGUCUGCAAAUCCAAACCAAACUCCUCGACAGAGUUAUUGGCCAAACCGAUAACCUCGGUUUCCACAUGUGGACCAACAGUCACUAACUUUACUCAAGCCUAUAGCCUAACCGUCUCGACACUCGUAACGUCUCUCCAACCACAUGUGGUCAACGCUUGCAAGCGUUGACCAAAUCAUAACUGGGCGAAAUUCUCACUUUGGAAUUUGCACACACUCCGAUCAGGAGCAACUAAGACCUCAAACCGCUACAAUUCAUCGGGUUGGGUCACUAUCGCACCCUUAACGCAUGCUCGAUCUCGAGAUCCAACACGUGGCAUCUCUCGCUCCCGAAUCUAAGCUCGGACUACUGCCCUUCUCAAUUCGAGGUAGGCAUCGCGCUACCACCACUCAUGCAUGCUAGGGUAACCACACCGACCCAUGCCUUGGUCUCUACUAUGCUUAUGAACAAAUAGUAGCAAACGACCACAACUACAAUGCAUGUAAUGCACUUAUUUAAUAUCAUGCAAAGGUACAUACUUGCUUCAACUAAACCAUACCUGCCAUGACAUCAUUCGCAGCAGUAGGCUCCUCAACUUGGGCGGCAUACACCCGCCCACUUGGAGCAGAUCGGGUCGCCUCAGGCCGACGUGGCACCAAAGCACGUCCAGCCGACCCAACCAUAGGUGGGGCUCCUCCAUAAUGGCCUGGAAUUGCCGGAGCCGAUGCGACAGACAGGGAAACCAAAGCCUUUCUUGGGCAAUCAUAGGCCAUGUGGCCCGCCUGGCCGGAUUCAUAACAUCUCCCACGGCAAUGCUCACAUUGCGUCAUUCGGUGGUCUCCACCACAAAAGACGCACCACUGCACUUCACGGCCCUCGGGCCGUUCUCGCGGGUACUUCGGGGGCUUCUUGGAACCCGAUUGACCUCCAGAACCACCGCCGGUCCGCCUCUUUCCCUUUUCCUUCUCGAACUCUUCGCGCUCCUCGAGAAUGCACACAUUGCCGUGCUCGACCCACAGAGCACGGUCCAACACCUCCGCGAACGUAUGAAACUUGAAGGCAUGCACCAAUCAGAAAACAUCGAGCCGGAGUCCCCGCACGAAACACUCUGCCCGGUCCUGCUCGAUCCUAACCAUAUCCGGCACGCAGUUCAGGAUAUAUGUGAACUCCCGCUCAUACUCGCGUACCAUGCGGUUACCCUGCUUUAACUUCCGAAAGGUCUCAUGCAUCCUUCUCUUGUCACUGUCGGGGAAGUACUCCGUGAACAUCAGUCCCCGAAACUCCGCCCAAUCAAUCGGGGGUAAAUCCGGAGAUCUAUCUUGCUUUACCCUCCGCCACCACACUCUAGCCCUCUUAUCGAAACAAUGAGCGGCCAAAAUUACCUUAUCUUGCCCGAGGGUAUAGAUAUCAUCAAACAAGGUUUCCAUUGUGGCUAACCACGUCUCCACCGUCCACGGGUCUACUACCUCGCCAUCGAAGGUCGGAGGACGGAACUUCAUGAACCUUGUGAGCGCCGUGUAGCCGCACUCCCACUCCGACUCCUCGAUUGCCGCGCGGGUUGCAGAACCCGACGCCGCCGCAGGAACACUUGCCGACAGGGGAUGUGCUGCCACCAGAGGCGCCGCAAUGCCCUCACCCUCAGUCGCAACUGGCGUUCGAGCCGAGAGUGCAGGCGGAUCAUGACCCUCGGUUGUCGUCGGGGCCGCCGCCGCCAUCUGUCGCUCUACAAGCCCUUGCAGCUGCUGCACUGCGCCAACUAGCACAGUCAUCUGUGCCCCCAGCUCUUGCACUUCGCUUGACCCGCCUUGCUCAGCUUGCUCAGGCACCUCAGGCGGCGGUGCCGGAACGAAACUACGCACGUAGCAUCUCGGAGACAUUCGUUCCUGAAACGCAACAAGUUGGUUAAUUACCUUAACCCAACAUCUCCUCGCAAUCACGAAACAACACGUCUCAACAACAUAAUCAGGCGGAAGUACGCAAGUGUACUCGUUCUAGACUCUUGGCUUUAUGUCGUCGGACGGCGACACAACCACCUCGAGUAAAGAAGUCAUACCACUUGAGUUCAUCUCUAAUCACUACUAGAGAUACAUCACCAUUUUCGACCCAAUCAAAUCAACUUCCGCCACCGCAUAGGUUCACGUUCCACUCACGCACCUAUGGCCUUAAGGUUUACCAUCCUAGGGUCUCCUAGGCCCAUCCUAGUCUCCCUCUUUACUUGCUCUUAACAUGCUCUGAUAUCAUCUUAUCUGUCACACCCCGAAACCCGCUACCAAUUUGGUCCGGCUCGAGCGCGUCGGACAGACGCCGAACGGACAGCACCUUCCCUGUCCGCCCAAGGCAAAACGACGAGAUCAUGUACAACAAGUUCCCAGGAAAUCAACUUGAAUACAUACACGAUCAACAACAACCACGAGAGCACAACCAGUGCUAAACAACCAAGAGCAAGCAUCACCAGUAGAGUACAUACAAGUGAAUAAAAGAGAGAUACUAACUAACUAUUACAACCAUUCAACCAUUAUUUACAUUGAUUACAUUUACAUUCUUCCAAAACAUAAACAUAAAGUUUACAAUUCUCCAACUUAUCUCACCCUAUACAUCAUCUACUCUCAAGUACAUAGGGUAGCUCUAAUGCAAAAAGGAAGGUAAGCUACUACAACUACUAGGGCGCUAAGCCCCUACCACGAUCCUAAACCGGCGCGCUUGUACUCGGCACUGCAACAAAGUAGGGUGAGAACUACAAAUAGUUCCCAGUGGGUUCGGCCGUCGACUCCGCCGAUCUCCUCACUAGGUCUAAGCAGGCAUUGGCAGAUAGAUAGAUAGAUAACUUGAAAGCGAUAACAAUAAGAAAAGUACAGGUACUCUACCAUUCCUUAAUCUAAUAUAAUGAAUGCAUGCACUACAUAGUAAAGGCUAGCUACUAUGCUACUAUGUCCAACAACGAUGCUAUUCAUUAAAUCACCCAAUCAUUUGGCUAACCCGUGGGCUCGCCUUCUAUCUCGCGUCUCAAUCUCACGGCCCCCUUAUAGGCGCCACAUCUACUCGAUCACACUGAUGAGGAUCCGCUCACUCACCCGACUCACAACACACUCUCUACGGGGAGGAUCCGCUCACUCGCCCGACUCACAACCUACUCUCUACGGGGAGGAUCCGCUCACUCGCCCAACUCACAACACACACACACUCUUUACGGGGAGGAUCCGCUCACUCGCCCGACUCACAACACACUCUCUACGGGGAGGAUCCGCUCACUCGCCCAACUCAACACAGGUACCACAACCCAAUCUCUAUCUCACAGGUGAGGAUCAGCUCACUCACCCGACUCACCUGGGAAGGAUCAGCUCAAUCGCCCAAGACCGUCUGCGGGACCCAAAAGGCUAUCCCUAUCGUGUGACAAUUCCGGAGUGCACUGCUUGUGUGGAGCGACCACCCCAAGCUUUGAAUAGACAUAUGAGUAUGAUCAAAUCCUCAUCACAGAGGAUACCCUACCACUCUAGACAACAUCAUUUGGGAGCUAGUUCAUCCCUAGGUUCAACAUGCAAUAAGUGUUUCCAUUUUACUUUACUUAUCAUGCCACUCGUCAAGUUAUUCAUUUAUCUAGAUGCCACUCGUUCUUUGGUUCUCGUCAGCACAAGAUUAAGUUCAUCAUUUACUUUACCACUAUAGGGUUCUAAGUCACAAGUUCCUAUUCUCAUGCAUCCUAAGUCAAGUGCCAAACUCAUGUUGCUACACUACUAAGGAUCAUGCAAGGAUGGAAAUGCAACUAUUUAAUACCCUAUUAUGCAUAAUAGUUACACUAGUCCACAUGCCAAUAGGUUUUCGCCUACCUAGGAUCAAAUCAACAUUUAUCAUCUCAUUAUAGGGUUACUAAUCAACAUAUCUCAAUCUCAUGCAUACAAGGCUCAAGUGUUAAACAAGUAAUACAACACUACCUCUAACAUGCAAGAAUAUAUAGCAACUAAUUAAGCACCCUAUAAUGCAUCAUGCUCAAAUGCAUAAUUGAUCAACUAUAAUACUUAGACAUAGCGAGCAGUUCAACUGCUUCGGGAUGGUCACCACCUACCUUUUAUAGCGUUCCGAUUGCUCGUCGUCACUCGCAAUCGGCCUCCCGCGGCGCACGCCGCUCUGCUCGACCCAACUCACGCGCGACCACCGAACGACCUCCGAUCUGCAAUCCGAAAAUUAAAGGUCUUCGAUUUCUCGUUACGAUGCUCGGAACCCGAUCCCACGAUUUAUGGAUGCCACCUCGGCCCUCCAGGCAAAAACGAAUGCCGGAAGGUUCUUUUCUUCAAUAUCUUUGCACCGACUCGACGAAUCACCGAACCGACUUCGCCAAUGCGUCAGAAUACCUAGCAAUUAGGUUUACAACCAUCCUAAUGAGAUCAAAACCCUAGAUUUUCCAAAACCCCAUUUUGGAGUCCUAGUUUACAACUACGGCAAAAUCCACCGUUAAUCCUCUAGAUUCUAGCAUUUAUCAUCUAUUUAGCAUGCUAAGAUUCCAAAUAAACCAUUUCUAGAGAUUAAAAUCCAAGCUCUAGUGAUUCACCAUUAAUGAGCAUCAAAGCUUACCUCAACUAAGUUUCUUCUCCAAGCAAAGGAAGAAGAAGAUGAUCGAAACCUUUCUCCAAGCUCCAAUCUCCACCCUUCUCCUCCUCUUGAUCAACUUCUACAGAGAAAGGAAGCUUCCUAGAGAGAGAGAGGGUGUUCUUUUAGGUCUAGGUCAUGAGAAAUGAAAGGGAGAAGAGAACCCUUGCUCUUAUACUCUCUCAUAAGUGCACAAAUUGCACAAAAGACCCUCAACUCUCCAAAUAAUGCACUGCCCCCGCGGGGCCAUUUUUUGUAUAAGGGACCGGUCCUUGGACUUGAGGGACCGGUCCCUGUAGGUCCAGAAAUGCAGCAUUUUAGGACUUAGCCAAAUUUUCAGCUUUUUCACCGUUUCUUCUCCGUUUUCGCUCAUUUUCGCUCGUUUGGCCUCCGAUUCUUUUCAAAUCGAACUGAGACUCUCCAAAUAUGUUUUCGAACGUGUUUUCAUCAUCUUUUCAUCCACGCUAACGCCAAAUUUAGUUCACGACCCAACAUAGUCUUUCGGGUCCCUCUUUGCGCCUACACGCAGCGAAACGCCCGAGUGCUUCCGGACUUAACCGGAACUUCACCGGAACCAUUCUAAUGGCUCUCCAACCAAAUGUACCGUAACUUCAUGAUUUUAGAAGUCCGGUACUUUACAAGAAGGGUCAGACCUAGUAGUCAUCAUAUUCAUCUCGCGUUCAGGUAGAGAUUCCUUCUUCUUCUUUUAUACGAAAGGUCGAGUAUUACAAAAGUAGCAAUCUUUCGCAAAAUGGUUCAUCUUCCCACACAUAAAGCAACCAAAGUUGUCUCCACUUUCCUCAAGUUUAGGUUUCUUAAAGUUUGGGUUGAACUUCCUACGGUGGAAAGGCUUAUUCUUAAAGUUCCGGUGAGGCUAGAAGUUUCUAACCUUAUUUUUAGGAUUCUCUAAUAGGUUGGCUUGGGUUGAAGGUUCACUGGGCUUCUUAUCCCUAGCUCGGUUCGACUCUUCUAUCCUAAUGGAUCUUAGGACAUAAUUCAGGGAUAGCUCUCUUUGAUUGUGGUUAAGAUCGUUUGUAUGGUUCGACCAAGAGGAUGGCAACUUAUCUAUAAGGGCGGCAAUUAAAAAACUUUCAUCAAGAUCUACACCACUAGAUCUAAGCUGCUCAAUUAUAUGCUCAAAAUCAUGAAGCUGGUCAGACAUGGACUUAUUAUUUACCAACUUAAAUUUAAUUAGAUCAGAUGCCUGGUAUCUCUUCUGGGUAGGAUCAACUUGCCCGUAUUUAUUUUCUAAGGAUGUCCAAAGUUCCUAGCUGUUUUAGCACUACAGUAUGUGUCAUAUAAUUUGUUAGAUAGGGUACUAAGAAUCCGCUUUAAACAAUGGUAGUUGAUCAUGUUAGGGUAAACAGGAGGUACGGUUCUUGUAGCAUACCGGAUUUUAAAAUAAGGAUAAAAAUAAAUAAAAAUAGUGUGAGAUACUAUUUUUAUUGGAUUUAUAGAAGUAAAAUAUAAGUCGGGAACGGCUCGUGCGGUAAUCAGAGCGAGAACAGAAGAUUUUGAAUUUUCUGUGCGAAUCGAGGCUAUUAUUUUAGCAGAAAAUGCACAGUGUCAGAAAAUUUCAAAAAUCUGGGAAUAUGUCAAAAUUAUUUUUAUGAGGCUAGAUUUAAAGUUUCAUGUCAUUCUGACACCCGGAAGGUGAAAAAUAAAAUCCAACAGUUAUCUGAUAAAGAUUACAGUUCGGUACAGCUUUCGGUGACCAAACGGGGUCAAAACUGAAAGAUUAAAAUUUUUUUCGUUAAUUUAAGCAAAACCGAACAUGACUGUCAAAUUUGAGCUCAAACGGAUAUUCAAAGGGCUUCGGCGAAAGAUAUCAGAUUUCGUACUGCCUGAAGUGAAUAGUGUAUGCUACUAUUGGGGUGUUGACUAUAAGUAGAAGCUUCUAGUCUUCUUCUUCUUCACAGCCACCACCACCCCCACAACACCACACGUUCAUGGUGGUAGUGAGAGAAAUCCUCACUUUCUCUCUCUAAAUAACUUUCUCAUCUCUCUAGAUCUUUGCCCAAAUUCACGGCGUUGGCGGAGAACGAGCUUGCGAACGCGUUGGGAGCGACGGAUCGAGCUUUCGUGCACCCGUUGGAGCGGCGUGCUUCCGUCUCGGCGUUCACUUUUUGGUAAACUUUUGGGAUUUGGCUUAAUCCUCAACCUUAAGUAUUCUAGUAGCCUCUAAUGAGCAUUCUUAGCAUGUUGCUCCAUUUAAUUUGGAUUAUUUAGAGGUAAUUGCAUGUUAGGGCUCAAAAAUAGGAUUUUGAAAUAUGUGAGGGUUCGAUCUAAAUUGAGCCUGUAUAAACCUAAUUGCUAGGUUUUCUGACGGGCUGGCGAAGUCGGUUCGGCGAUACGACGAGGCUACGCGAAGAUAUUGAAGGAAAGGCCGAUUUCGGUACAGAUUGCCGCAGCUCGCGGCGUAAGCUUCUAAAAAUCACGAAACUGGAAUCGUAGCAUCAUGACAUCACCUAAAGUCUUGGAGCUAAGAGAGUCGGGGGCACGAAGGGUCGCGUGGAGCACUCGGUGGGUUUGACCUCGCUACAAAUGAGAAAAUCUCAUUUAUGUGAAUUUAAGUAGCGUAAAAUAGAAAAUCACGCAUUUUCAUGAAAGAUGCAUUAUUUGUGAAUUUUAGAAUGCUUGAAAUGCUUAUGUUAUAUACAAUGCAUUUUCGGACCUCUAUGUAGUAGAGAGUUUUCGUGUUGGGCUUUGCCUUAUGGAUAGCAUUCUUAAUUGUGGCUUUAGAUCGUGUUGUAUUUAGUGAAUAUGACAAGUAUAAAUGCAUAUGUUAUAUACAAUGCAUUUUCGGACAUCUAUGUAGUAGAGAACUUGUAUGUGAGACUUAGGCAUGGGUUUAGCAUUCUAAUUGGGACUUGGAAUCAUGCUCCAUAUAGUAGACAUGACAAAUAUAAUAUGCCUUGGACAUAAAUCUUAUUUGGACAUAAGAGAAUACAUUAGGCCAUAAAGUGGCUUUGGACUUGAAUAACUUGUGAGUUAGGGAGCUAAUGUCGUAAUGCGACAUCAGGCUUGAGCUAUGAAUGAGUCUAGCAAAGUAAUGCCAUAGAGAGGCAUUUGACUUGAAUGAUAUGUGAAUUGUAUGUGCAUAUUAAUAUUAUGAGAAUUAUGCUAUGUUGAUAGUUGCAUACGGACGCAUUGAAACCAUUUGUUAGUGAAUAGAUGCAUGUUAAUAUUUAUAUGCAUUAUGGAAUACAUGCUAGGUACAUAUUAGCAAUGUGAGAUCAUGCUAGAGAGUAUGCGUAUUAACCUAUUAUUCAUAGAGUAAGCUAAUGUCAUAAAGAGGCAUUGGGCUUGGAAUUUGUAUAUUAAGCUAAUGUCAUAAAGCGACAUUGAGCUUGGGAUAUGUAUGAACCUAGUAAAUAAUGCCAUAAAGAGGCAUGAAAAUUGGAACAUGCUUGGAUACAGUAAUGUUCUAGUGUCCUAAAGAGGCACUAGACUUAGUGAAUGUUGGAACUUCACUUUGAGACAUAGACUAGACCCUUGGGGUUACUAGUAGCUAUUCCAUGUUAGAGACAUGAUGACGAGAUCCGUGACAUGAUGACUAUGGUUACUUGCCAUUUGUGCUCAUUCGCACAUGCUUGUGAGGGUCGCUCCCUGCAAGCCGGCACUCCGUAGUUGGCCUUUUGCGACGCAGUUCGCGCGUGCGGGAUUGAGACACCUGUAGGGUCACGUGGGACAGUCUCAUUCUAGAGUGGGAUGACGAGCUACCACGGGCAGCUAGGUGGCGAGGAGCCUGUAGGGUCUGGUGGGACAGUCUCAUUCCUCGAGGGGGAAUGUUGGAGCUACCACCGGCAGCUAGGCGGCACAACUUGGACUACACAUGUGUUGGUCCUGGAUAAGAUUGAAUGAUGAACCUUAAUCGAUUAAAUGACAAUCACUACUUGAUAGUAUAUCGUAGUUGGAUUUAGCUGACAUUGGGAUUUGUGGUACCCUUAGUUGCCAUGAUAGUACAUACUAGAUAUGUAUUGAAUUUUGGGACAUAUUGUAUACUUGAUAGUAUUACUUGUUGCAUCACAGCUUACUUGGUAGCCAUGAUAGAGCAUACUUGUUAUAUAUCGGCAUAUUGGAUUCAUGAUAGAGUAGAUGUACUCCAUGUUCAUAUCAUGUAUACUUGUGGCAUAGUAGUAUAGCAUUUCAUUAUAUGCUUUUAUUUCCGCAGUUGUUAUUUCAUUUUCUACAUCUGCUCAUGACUUGGGCCUAGUGGUGCAUUUUGCUAAGGUCAGUAAUUGCCCACUGGGAACUAUAAAUUAUAGUUCUCACGCCCCCUAUUUUAUGUUUUCUUUCAGAGCCUUCCACUCCGGGAGAGUCUCGGGAUCGCGGGAAAGGAAUCGCCUCGGGCUAACUAGCGAGGGAUUAUUGGAUAGGUGGUCCACCUCUCUUUUGUUUCUUUUUGGAGAGGUGGAGAGAAUUGUACCAUUUGUAGAGACCACCCCUUUUUGUACUUUUGAGAUGGAUACUGUAUAACUUUAUGCUUUACUUUUAUUGUUUAGUUAUGUUUUAUCUACUAUAGAUUCUAGAUGUAUACUUGCUCUGAUAUCUCUAGAUGUAGUUCAUCUCUUAUCUUAUUCUUCCGCUUUGUUGUAGACGCCUUAUAUGUAUAGGCAUAUGGCGGGUCUGGGCGCGCUACCGGGAAGGCCUUCGCAGGUCCCGGGGCGUGACAACUCUAGAUGUAGAAGUAGUUACAGUUUCAAUGGAGGGAUGAGUGGAUCCAGUCUGGGCUUGGCUUCGAGUAAUCAGUCUAUUGACCACAGUCUGGGUUGCACUUUCAGGUGCAGAUCCAUUGCCAAUCUCGGCAGAAUCCGAGAUAGCAGAAACCAGCCCAAAUAUGGUGAGCCAGAACCUUAUUUGGUUCUGCCACCUCUUAAAAUUACGACCAUCAAAAGUAAAAGGUUUCGCUGAAUCCUCCAUAAUAAAAAAAAUCUGUUCACAGAUUAAUUCUACUGUUAUGUCAUAAAACAGUUUUGAAUUUUAGAAAAAUAACAGUAAGAUAUAUAUUAAUUGUAGGAAAGAAAUAUUUUAAUUUCUAUAAUAAAAGAAACAGAAAGAUUAAAUCAAUUUCGCUUCUAGAUUGUUGCAAAAUCUUUCUCAUCUUUUAUUAAAAUAUUCGUUAAUAACAAUUUGAAAGUUUAAUUUCAGGUUUAGAAAAAUUUCGAGAAAGAAAAUAAAUAACAAAUACUAUAAAGAAAAGGUUUAGAUAAGACCUGUGGAUCGAGGCGUACAGAGCACUGUUCUAAAAGCGAAAUUGCCCCUCCACAUGCGAGGCUUCUCGGCAAUUACUUCCAGUGAUACAACUACCACGUUCCACCCGUCGGCACUGUCUGCCACCACGAAUGACGCACCUCGCACAGUCGAUGGAUUUUCCCGUGGGGGUAGUAUUCAUGAUUCAGAUUAGUAUUUAUAUGUAUAUGGGUAUCAGGUAUUGCAGGUCCAUGGCUUCCAAUAGAUGCAAGUACCUACUAUUAAUUACCCCCGUAGAAUUAGGGCACCUUCGAUUAAGAGACCUUUAUAGAUGGGAUGAGAUGAAUCGUGUCUUGGUUUAUUGAAUCCUAAGUAUAUGUAUUAGGAUUCAGUUGGAUUUGAGAUUGACUAGGUCCUAAGUAUAUGUGUUAAGACCUAGUCGAUAUUAAACUCUAUGUAUUAGAGUCUAAUUGGCUCUAAGUAUAUGUCUUAGAGUCCGAUUAUAUUCACCUUGGUUGUGAUCCGACCCCAACUAUAUGUAUUGAGGUGGGUCGAAUUAUCCGAAAGUAGACUAAUUCCCGAGUAUAUGUAUCAGGAUUAAUCCAGUUUAAUAUAUUUUCCACUCUAGUUAUAUGUGCUAGAGUGAGGAUCUGACUAAGCCCUAAGGUAUUGCGUUAGGGUUCGUCGGAUUUGAUUUGCAUGAGCUCCAAGUAUAUGUAUUAGAGCUCGAUCGGGUAUGGAUUUCACUCUAGGUAGAUAUGCUAGAGCAAAAGGCUGACUAGACCCAAAGUGUAUGUGUUAGGACCAGUCGGGCUUGGUUUGACUUCGACUCUAAAUAUAUGUGCUAGAGCAAAAGGUUGACUAGACCCUAAAGGAUAUGUAUAAAGGGUUAGUCGGAUGACCUCUAAGCAUAUGUGUUAGAGUUCGAAUAAAUUUGAUAUCAUUUGACUGAAUUCUAAGUACAUAAUUUAGAACUCUGUCAAUUUGAAGAUGAUUUUGCCUUAGUUAUAUGUGCUAAGGCGAUUGACUUAGCCCUAAGUAUAUAUAUUAGGGGUAGUCGAUAUUUAAUUUUCAUUCUAGGUAUAUGAGCUAGAGUAAAGAAAAGGUUCAUGAUGAACUUUGGGCAUGAGAUUUGGGUAUUGGUUCAUAAGAUUCGGGUAUAUAGGAUAUGAACAUGAUUCAGUUCAUGAGGUUAAGAUAUAGCUCAUGUGGUUCAUGAGAUUUGGAUAUAGUUUGGUGCAUGGCUCAUAGGAUUUGGUAUAUGGUUCAUGAGGUUUGGUAUAUGGUUCAUGGGAUUCGGUCCAUGGGCUUGGGUUAUGGUUUAUGGUUCAUGAGGUUUGGUGUAUGGGAUUUGGUUCAUGAAUUUGGAUAUGGUUCAUGGAUGAGGUUUAUGAAUUUGGUUCAUGGUUCAUAGUUCAUGGUUCAUGAAAUUGGUUUAUGGUUCAUGAGGUUUAUGGACUUCGUUUAUGAAUUUGGUUCAUAGUUCAUGAACUUGAUUCAUUUGGUUCACGAACUUGGUUUAUUGUUCAUGAGAUUUGGGUAUUGGAUUUGUUUUAUAAACUUGAAUAUGGUUCAUUGGGUUUGGUAUAUGAGAUUUGGUUCAUGAACUUGGGUAUGGUUCAUGGGAUAUGAUGUAUGGUUCAUGUGAUUUGGUUCAUGGAUAUGGUUCAUAGUUUAUGAUUCAUGAAUUUGGUGUAUGGUUUAUGGCUCAUGGUGUAUGGUUUAUGGUUCAUGAUGUAUGGUUCAUGAACUUGGUUCAUUUGGUUCAUGGUUCAUGGUUCAUAAGGUAUGGUUCAUGAACUUGGUUUAUGAUUCAUGAACUUGGUGUAUGGUUUAUGGGUUUGGUUUAUGGUUCAUGAGAUUCGGUUCAUGAACUUGGGUAUGGUUCAUGGUUCAUGGUGUAUAGUUCGUGAACUUGGCUUAUGAGAUUUGGUUUAUGGUUCAUGAGACUUGGUUUAUGAAUUUGGGUAUGGUUCAUGGAAUAUGGUGUAUGGUUCAUGAACUUGGUACAUGGGAUGUGGGAUUUGGUUCAUAGUUUAUGGGAUUUGGUGUAUGGACUUGAUUCACGAACUUGAUUAUAGGAUUUGGUUCAUGAUUCAAGGAAUUUGGGUUCAUAAACUUGGUUCUCGGUUCCUGAUUCAUGGGAUUUAGGUCAUAAACUUGGUUCAUGAAUCCAAGUUGGAAGUCGGGUAUGGGUUCUAUUUAUGAUUGGAUUUGGAUUUAGGGUUAUUUGUAGACUGGAUUGGAUUUGAGUUUCGGUUUAUUUGUGGACUUGAUUUGGUUUGAAUUUGAAUUUAAUUUGUGUUUUGGGUUUGGGUUUUAUUUGGGUUUUGGGUUUGGGUUUUAUUUGUGGGCUUGGUUUGGUUUUGGUUUGGAUUUGAUUUGGGUUUUGGGUUAGGGUUUAUUUGUGUACUUGGUUUGGAUUUAGGUUUGAUUUGAUUUUGGUUAUGGGUUUGGGUUUAUUUGUGGACUUGAUUUGGUUUGGGUUUGGAUUUGAUUUGGGUUCAAGUUUGGGUUUAUUUGUAGACUUGAUUUCGUUUGGAUUUGGAUUUGAUUUGGGUUCAAGUUUGGAUUUAUUUGUGGACUUGAUUUGGUUUGGGUUUGGAUUUGAUUUGGGUUUUGGGUUUGGAUUUAUUUAUGGACUUGAUUUGGAUUUGGGUUCAAGUUUGAAUUUAUUUGUGGACUUGAUUUGGUUUGGGUUUGGGUUUAUUUAUGGACUUGAUUUGGAUUUGGGUUCAAGUUUGGGUUUAUUUGUGGACUUGAUUUGGUUUGGAUUUGGAUUUGAUUUGGGUUUUGGGUUUGGGUUUAUUUGUCGACUUGGUUUGGAUUUAGGUUCAAGUUUCGGCUUUGUUAGUGAACUUGAUUCGGAUUUGGGUCCUUAUGUGGACUUGGUUUGGGUUGGGUUUGGAUUUUAUUUGUGGACUUGGUUUGGAUUUGAGUCCGGAUUUGGGUUCUAUUUGUGGACUUGGUUUUCUUUUCAAUUCUAUUUCGGGUCCGAGGAAAUCCUCUUUUGAUUUUGAAAUUCGAUUUGGGGUCCGAAUAAAUCCCCUUUUAAUUUUGCAACUUGAUUUGGGGUCCAAAGAAACCUUCUUUUGAUUUUGCAAUUUGAUUUGGGGUCCGAAGAAAUCCCCUUUUGAUUUUUUUUUGAUUUGGGGUCUGGAGAAAUCCCCUUUUGAUUUCGCAAUUGAUUUGGGGUCCGAAGAAAUCCCCUCUUGAUUUUGCAAUUUGAUUUGGGGUCCGAAGAAAUCCCCUUUUGAUUUUGCAAUUUGAUUUGGGGUCCGAAGAAAUCCCCUUUUGAUUUUGCAAUUUGAUUUGGAGUCCGAAAAAAUCCCCUUUUUGAUUUUUAUUUGAUUUAGGGUCAGAAGAAAUCCCCUUUUUAUUUCGAUUUGAUUUGAGGUCCGAAGAAAUCCCCUUUUGAUUUCGCAAUUAAUUUGAGGUCCGAAGUAAUUCCCUUUUGAUUUUGCAAUUUGAUUUGGGGUCCGAAGAAAUUCCCUUUUGAUUUUGUAAUUUGAUUUGGGGUCCGAAAAAAUCCUCUUUUUAAUUUUUAUUUGAUUUGGGGUCCGAAGAAAUUUUCUUUUUAUUUCGAUUUGAUUUUGGGUUCGAAGAAAUCACCUUUUGAUUUGUAUUUGAUUUGGGGUCCGAAGAACUUCCCAUUUAAUUUUGGUUUGAUUUGGGGUCCAAAGAAAUCCCCGUUUGAUUUAUGAUUUGGGGUCCAAAGAAAUUCCUGUUUGAUUUUGAUUUGAUUUGGGGUCCGAAGAAAUCCCCAUUUGAUUUAUGAUUUGGGGUCCGAAGAAAUCCCCGUUUGAUUAUAAUUUGACUUGAAUCUAAACUGGUCUGAAAGUUUUGUGGAUUGAUUCAAUGUUCUCGAAAGGGAUCGAAGGGUCCAAAGAAACGGGGAAUCUUUGAUUCCCCUCCCCUCUUCUUUCGAAAACACCAAACCGGUGAUUCUGGAGAUGACAUUGGUGAAGAUGAUGACGGUGGCGCGGAUCUGUUCGGCCGUCGAAUUUGAUUUGACAUUUUCGGAAGAUGUUGAAGGGUCCGAAGAAACGGGGAAUCGGAGAUUCCCCUCCACUCUUCUUUCGAAAACACCAAAUCGGCGAUGCUGGAGAUGACGUCGGUGAAGAUGAUGACGGUGGCUCGGAUCUAUUCGGCCGGUGAAUUUGGUUUGAUAUUUUCAAAAGAGAUUGAAAGGUCCGAAGAAACGGGAAAUCUUUGAUUCCCCUCCCCUCUUCUUUCGAAAAUACCAAACCGGCGAUGCUGGAGGUGGUCACGGCAAUGUAAAUCAUCCAUCCCAUCAAUUAACAGCUUCGAAUGGAGUAUCGAGAGGUUCGAAGAAACGGGAAGCCAUUGGUUCCUCUCUACUCUCCCAUCGAAGUCGUCUAGAUGGUAUGGAUGACUAUGAUAGCAGGACUUAAAAAAAAAAGAAAAAAAAAGGGUGAGAAAAAAGAUUUUUUUUUUGAUAUGUUUUAUUAUAUUUUUUUUUCUUCUUUCUUNGGCGAUCUCUCAUCCUUUGAUUUUUUUUUUACGUCGGAACGUGGGUAGCAGAGGUGGGAAUACUAUUAUCUCUCUCCGUCUAUCGUCCGACGUUUCCUGUUGAUCAGAUGCCAGAUCGGAUGAAGCGGCUUGGCGACGGCGAUCUCUCCUCCUUGAUCAAAUGACGGAUUGGAUGAAGCGGCUCGGCGAUCUCUCCUUCUUUCUGUGGCUCGGCGAUAUCUCCUUCUUUCCGCGGCUCGGCGAUCUCUCCUCCUUUGAAUUUUUUUGUACGUCGGAACAUGUGUAGCAAAGGUGGAAAUACUAUUAUCUCUCCUCUUUUUUUCGCAAUCUCUCUAUAUCGCUCUCGUCUCUCUAUUUUUUUCUCUCCUCCGUCUAUCGUCCCUCGUAUUGAUUUCGAUUCUCAUAUUUAUAAUAGGAGGGGCAGCGAGAGAUAUUUUGAGGAGUCGGUUAGGGAUUCAAAAUUCAAAAUCAAAUUUUGAAUCGGUUGUUGGAUGAAUAGGUAUUCAAAAUUCGAAUAGAUGUGGUUGGUUGGGAGAUAUUUUGGGAGUUGGUUGGGAAUUCAAAAUUCGAAAUCGAAUUUUGAAUCGGUUGUUGUGGUUGGUUGAAAGAUAUUUUAGGGGUUGGUUGGGGAUUCGAAAUUCGAAAUCGAAUUUUAAAUCGGCUGUUGGAUGGUUGGAGGAUAUUUUGGGAAUUGGUUGGGGAUUCGAAAUUUGAAAUCGAAUUUUGAAUCGGUUGUUGGAUGGUUGGAAGAUAUUUUUGAAAUUGGUUGGAGAUUCGAAAUUUAAAAUCGAAUUUUGAAUGGGUUGUUGGAUGGUUGAAGGAUAUUUUGGGAAUUGGUUGGGGAUUCGAAAUUCGAAAUCGAAUUUUGAAUGGGUUGUUGGAUGGUUGGAGGAUAUUUUGGGAAUUGGUCGGGGAUUCGAAAUUCGAAAUUGAAUUUUGAAUGAGUUGUGGUUUGAAAUCGAACUUCGAACAGAUAUUUUAUAGGGUGUGGAUAUGGGCCGUCGUUGAUCAGGCCCAUUUCAAUGAAAUUUAUUGGGCACAAAUGAUAAUAUUUAAUGGACUGGAAUGAGGCCCGAAUUGUUGUAUAGGUCUGAAAUUUUAAAGUGCUUUCAUGAGGCCCACUAACUCACAUUUAUGAUGGGCUUAUUAUGGGUUAUAAUUAUCGGCCUCAAAAUUUUACGGUCAACAUGAGACAUAUUAGGAUUGUAUUUUGAUUAUGAUUAGGAUUGUUUCAUCCUAUAAGUAUUAUUUCACUUCAAACAGGCACGAUUUCAAUGUGGCGCAAGACGAACCCAACAAGCUUCAGAUCCAGCAAAGAAAACUUGGUGAAAAUCGGCAGAAAAGAUUAAUUGCGAGAAAGUAGGAAAUGACGAGGUAGGGUUUAGGUAUGCUCGGGUUCCUCUCGAACUCACGCAACCCCCUCCCUGUGUAUAACAAGAUAAGGCUAAGAUUAUACGGAUAAAGAUUAGGAUAAAGAUAAAAACGAAAAAAUAAAUAUAAAAUAAAAUAAAAUAAAUCGGAUGUAUGAACUGCACGCACGCACCGCCGCCCGCCAGACCCAGCUCGUGCUCUUGCUCGUGCCAUACGUGUGUUUAAACGAGAGUAUAAAUCUCAUUUUCUCCCAAGCAACUAGUUUAAGAAUAAAGCAAUAUAUAUAUAUAUAUAUACCAUCAACAUCCAUUUGGUUUUCAAUGUGGGACUAAAUCUCACACAUGAAAACUUAAGUUGGGCUCCAAAGCAAAGCCCAUUAAUAAUAAUUGGGCUCCAAAGAAAUCUUAAAAAGUUUUAAAUCACAAAAAUCUAAUAAAAUCCAAUAAUAACUUCCUGCUAUGAGACCAAUACUGAAGAAUGAAAGAAAUAACUUUCUUCUUUAACCAUGCAUGCAACUAUAGGAUAAAGUAUUAAUACAAGAACUGUGAAGAGAAACUGAAUACACUAUUUAUGUGUCUUAACAUUCUAAAUGCCGAGUUGUACGAUGGUAACUCGUGCCAAAUACAGAUUUUCUCUACUAAUGAUAAAAUAGAAAUUUGAGUCACUAGAGUUGUGAAGCAGUGUAUUAGUAUACCGACCUUUUUACAAUCCCCAGUGGGGAUAAUUUAUCAUAUACUGAGAAAAACAAAUUUGAGAUAACAUUUUCUUUUUACACACUUGUAGGCACCUUCUUACAAAUGUCACUUGAGUAAAGAUAGAAGAUAAAUUGUAAACAAAUAUUUGUGAUACACAAGAAAGAUAAGCCUAUUGCAAGAUGAGAAAAUUAUAUAUCUAUUCACUACUUCCCAUAGCUUCUUCUUUCCCUCCUCUCUCAAGAUUUAGGAGAAUAAUGGAUCUCAUCGCUUAUGAUGAUAAUGUAUAUUAAGAAUGAAACUAGGCCACACUUAGGAGGAGGGAGCAUGGUCAAAUCCAAUGCUCGAGCAUCUAUAUUAACAUCAUGCCAUUGGAUUUGAUCAAGAGUAUUUGAAGUUGCUAGAAACCAUAUUCAACGGGUUAUGGUUUCUUUGUGGGCUUUCUUUGCAAAUAGCCCCCUUACAAUUUUUUUUUUAAAAUUGGCCCUGUCAAAAAUUUAUUUGCAAAAAUGGCCCUGGCCCCGCCACGGAAGCGCCACGUCAGCGCCACGCGGGCGGGGCUGGGCCAGAUGGUUAAGUUGAACACGGUGAACCAUUCACCGUGUUCAAUACAAAGUGUUUGUAUUGGACACGGUGAAUGAUUCACCGUAUCCAAUACAAAAAAGCUAAGAUUGAAAUAUUUGUAUUGGACACGGUGAACCAUUCACCAUGUCCAAUACAAAUAAUUGGACACGGUGAAUGGUUCACCGUGUCUAAUACAAAUACCUCCAACUUAGCCAUUGUUGGGGUAUUUGUAUUGGGCACGGUGAAACAUUUACCGUGUCCAAUACAAAAAACUUGUAUUGAACACGGUGAAUGGUUCACCGUGUUCAACUUAAAUACCUGGGCCCGCCCUGCCCGCGUGGCGCUGACGUGGCGCUGGCAUAGCAGGGGCAGGGCCAUUUUUGCAAAUAAUUUUUGGACGGGGCUAUUUUUAUAAAUAAAAUUUGUCAGGGGGCUAUUUGCAAAAAAAGCCCUUUCUUUGUAGAUAUGCAUCAAGUAGAGACAAACAUGAACAUUGUAAAUUGAAUAAUGUUCAUGAAAAAUGUAGAAAUUUCUCAACUGAAAAUCCGUACUAUUAUUCUAGAUAUAGGGGGUGUUUGGCCAAGUAUUUAAAAAGUACUUUUGGGUUGAAAAAUGAUUUUCGGCUCAAUACAACGUUUGACAACCUCAAUUUUAAAGCCUGAUUCUGCUUUUCAGAAUAAGAAAACUGAUUUUGAAAGCCCAGAAUCAGAAGCAGAAAAAAACUGCUUCUUGAAAUUUGAUUCCGAUUUUAGACUCAAACUUCAAAUUUUUAUUUUAAUUCUAAAUUCAAUGUUUAAUUUUAAUUUUAAUUUUAAUUUUUAAAUUUCAGAUUUAUAUUUGAAUUUUAAAUUUUAACUUUUAAAUUUUAAAAUUUGAAAAAUAGAUUUCAAUCUUUAAAUUUUAAAUUUUAAUUUUAAAUUUCAACUCUCACCAUUUAGAUUUUGGAAUUUCAAAUUUCAAAUUUCAAAUUUAAGAUAAAAUUUAAAACUUAACAUUUUAGAUUUUAAAUUUUAAAUUUAAAAUUUUUAAAAUUUUAAAUUUUAAAUUACAAGUUUUAAUCUCCAAAUUAUAAAUUUUAAAAUUUUAAAUUUAAAUUAUUAAUUUGUAAAAUUAAAUUCUAAUAUUCAAAUUUAACAUUUUAAUUAUAAAUAUUUCAAAUUUAAAUUAUUAUAUUUUAAAUUCAUAAUUAUUAAAUUCAAUUUCUUUUCAAUUUUAAAUUUAAUUUAAAUUUUAAUAUUUAAAUUUUAUAUUCAUAAUUAUUUUAAAUUUCAAAUUCAAAUUAAAUUUAAUUAUUGUACUUAAAUAAAUUUGAGAAUUUAAAUUUAUAAUUUCAAAUAAUUCAAAAUGUUAUAUUUUAAAUUUAUAUAUUAUAUUUAUCUAAAUUUAAUAUUAAAUUUUAAAUUUAAAUUUAUAUUUUAAUUAUUAAUUUUAUUUUUUAAUUUUUAUUUAAAUGUUAGAUUUUAAAUUUUAAAUUUAAAUUAAAGUUUGAAUUUAUAAUUUAUAUUUAUAUUUUUAAAUAUUAAAAUUUUAAUAUUUUAAAUUUCAUAAUUAUUUAUAUUUUUAAAUUUAAAUUUAUAAUUUUAAAUUUUAAAGUUCAUAAUUACUUUUAAUUUUAAAUUUUAAAUUUUUAAAUUAUUUUUAAUUAAAAUAUCAAAUUUUAAAUUUUGUAUAAUUUUGAAAUUUAAAAAUUUUAAUUUUAAUUCAAUUUUAAAUUUAGAUUUUAAAUUAUUUUAAAUAAAAUUUAAUAAAAAUAUUAAUUUAUGCAAAGAUCAAAAAAAAUUUGCCAAACAACUUUUCAAAAUCACUUCAGAAAAAUCUCUUUUAUCUAAACUCAGCCAAACGUUCUAUAGCUUUUAACCAAAGUCAUUUCUCUGAACCAAAAUCACUUUUUCGAAAAUCAUUUUUUCAGAAGUUAGGCCAAACGGGCCCUUCUUCUUUCUUCUUCUCUGGUUUGCUUUAUUAUUUUCUAGUUUUUAGAGUUUUAGUUAAUUUUUUUUUUGUUUUAAACAAACAAAAGUGCUAAUCCAGAAAUGCUCAUGUGCAUUUCUCGCCUUCCUCACCACCGACAUCGUCGAGGCCGCGCUCACCGCCGCCCUCUGGGGUAGGUGGUGGGCCGUGUGCGCCCUCCUUUGUCGGCGAGCUUUUCGGCGCCGAGAAAUGCUUUCUCUUUAUCGUCGACGGCGGUGGUGGGGAUGCGGGUUCCCAGAAGUGGGUUUGGUGGGUGCAAAAUCCACUUUCAGCAGAGUGUAAUUAUUUUUCUCCCCCUCCCUCACCGCCGUGCUUCUCGGCCUCGAGAAGUACUUCCUCCUCGUCGCCGGUGGCGGCAGCGGAAGCGGUGGGUUUGUUUAGCGGGUAGAAAAUCCGCUGCAGUGGAGGUGGAGGGUGAAGGCGGAGGAAGAGGACGUGGUACCAUCCUCGCUAUCAUCACGGGGGGUUGCGGAGGCGGUAAAGGAGGGUCGGAGAGAAAAAAAAAAGAAAAGGGUAGUCUGCCUCCGCCUUCGCCGCUUUCUUCGGCGAGAAAAAAAAAACGUGAGAAAAAAAAAGAAGAGAGAAAAAGGUAUAAGCUAAAAGUCCAGACCGAAUCUGCAAAAUCGAAAAAGAUGGCCCAGUUUUACGAAAGCUCAAAAAACUUGUGAAUUUUUUAUGCAAAUUGGUCUAUUAUAUUUAUAGUUUAAUGAGCGAGAAAUUUUACAUUUAAAAUCUUCUAAAAUAUCUAAAAUAUGAUUGGUCAUCUUUAAAUCUGAUAUUAUAAAAUUUAUUAACACUAGUUUAAUCGAUUCUUCCUUUCAACGAAAUUACUAAUUAAACUAAAUCUCUACUAUUUUUAUUGUCUUUGGCGCGCAGAGGCGAUGGCGUGUGGAAACCCUAAACCUUCUCUGAAGCGCUCGCACGGAGGUGGAGCUCCUCCGUGCAAAACCUCUACCUCCUCCUCCUCCUCUAUUCCUCCUCCUAGGGUUCGCUUCGACCCUCCCUCAGGUAAACCACACGAUGACCUCAAUCUCCCUUUCCUAUGCUCGAUCGUCUUUUCUUCAGCAGAAAACGGAGUGAUUCGGAGGUCGAAGAAACAAAACAAAACAAAACAAAACAUAUCUCUAGCUAGAUUUUUUAAUACGAAAUUGUGAAUAAGAGCGAAUUAACUUGUGGAUCGAUCUUCUUUUGAUGCAAUCGAACAUCUCUGUUGGUUUGAUGCGGCUUUAGCGAGAGAUUAGCGUCGCAUUUGGAAAUAUUCAGAUUUGUUAUCGCUCUUAUGAAUAAUUUGGGUGUUGUUUAGAGGGAUUGUAAGAGGCGGUGGUGAUUUUUAAUUGCUUAAAUCUUUUCUCCUUUUUUUUUUCUUUGGAGAAUAUAUCUUUGUGUUUGAAGUGGUGAGAAAUGUGACAACGUUACAUUUAGUUUAGGGGCCAUUUGAUUCAAGGUUUUAUAGUAUUCGAAGUAUGUCAUAUAUUUAAUAUUUGCAAUGGCAAGUUUGUUUCUGACUUAUCAAUCCAUUUGGGUUGGGAAGUCGUUAAGGACUAGUAUAUUUUUAUUAAUGGACUACUAAUGAUUCCCAUCAAGGAUGAAAAGGAGAAUACCUCCUAAUCCAUGAUAAUCUUAUAUUCCCGCCAUUAGAAUCUACAAUAAUCCACUACGUCACUAAUACCUAUUACGACUACCCAACUUGAGUUGAAUUGUAAUGAUUUGAAUAUUUCUAAUAAAAAAUAUGAAGAAUUUUCAGAAUAUUACAAACUGCGAACCAAACGGUCCCUUAAGGCAAUCUACUUGCUUGUGAAUUGGUUCUUUCCAAAUGGCAAGAUAGUUACAAGUAGACAACUAUUCUUCUAUUUAUUGUGAAGUGAUGGUGAGUACCUUAUUAUACUGAUUCAUUUCAUGCAAGGUUAGAUUAUUGUUCUUUAUAAAUUUUUGCUUGCAUUUGUGCUAACUGAAAGAAUCAUCCCUAAUUGCUUUUCUUUAUUAGUUUUUAUCUUAUCUUGUGGCAAAUGUAUGAUGUGAAUUUGGCAUUUGUUCUAAAGAUGACUCUUUAUUGAGUAGAGGCAAGGCAAAGGAAGAAGGUGAAAUUUGCGGAUUCAGUGGGUAAGGACGAUAUAUGCCGUAAACAUAAUACAACUUUUCUUCAGCCUGUAAGGACUCAAUCUCAAAGUAAGUUACCCAUCCUCACUCAGCACUUUGGUUUACUUUUUAUUGUUGGAUUUUUUUUUUUUUUUUGAUGUCUUAUUUUCGUAUGCAGAAACAUAUUUUCUAUGUUUUUCAUGCCACAGAAAGUAAGUAUUAGAUGAAGCUGCUAAUUCUAAUUUUCAAUAACACCUCUUAGCAAAUCGAGCUAAAGAGAUAAAAUGGUUAUUACCUUUCACUCUUUAGAUAUGGUUUAAGUAAUAAUACUGACUAUGACGAGCGUUGUCAUGUACCUGCCAGUUUUCAUCGGAACUAGCCAUACCUUGGCAAUUAAAUUCCUCUAGUAAUGGCAGUGAGCUAUUCCUAGUUGAGAAGCACAACAUACUGUUUUUUAUGUAAAUUUGGUGUGUUAAUUUGGUACCAUUUGUUUCUUGUUGUCCUUGAAUUAGCAUAGAAUUGCUUAGGCUUGGAACAAGAUCGUGUUUGAAAUGCUUCCGCUGGGGCAUCUCUCAUAUUUUAGCCAAUGCUAUUGUCAGGAAGUAGGAACUAAGAUACAUCGGUGUUUGUUGAUCAACUAACUCCAACAUAUACACGAAUUCAGCCUACAAUAUUUUUAGACUUUUUAAACUUGAAUUUAUGAAUAAAAAGAUAGAGUAUGUGCAUCAGAAAUGUUGGCAAGUAUUGUCAAUCCAUUGUUAUUUCUCAUCGCAAAUGGCCUGGUCAGAAAGCUAAUGUGACGAUCUGUCACGCCCCAGAUUCUAGCUCCGUCAUGCCCCGCGACCGCCAAUUUGGUCGGUCCGAGCACACACACAGACGCCUAACGGAUAGAACCUCCCAUGUCCGCCCAAAGCUCAACCACAACAACAAUAAACAUGUAUAAAGAAUUCGCCCAGGAAGAAUUUCGAUAUACACGGCUUACACGAGGGCAAGCAACAGGAGUAAGUGAAAAUAAACUAGUAUUACAUCCAUACAUUGUAUCUUGAUUACAUUAAACAAAAUACAAAGCUUAUAUAAUCCAUUACAUGAUCUUACAUUCUAUUACAACUAUUACAUGUUUGUUUCAUCAACUACAAAAGAUGAAAUACAAAAUGGUACAACUAUACUCGAGGAAAUCCACUACCUAGGUUGUAAUGCCCUUGCCGCGAUCCUCGACCGCCCAGCUUGCGCUAGGAUCUGAAAGGUUAGUGGAGAGAGAACUACUAAAAGUUUUCAGUGGGUUCGACCACCGACCCCGCCGACUCACCCACUAGGUCUAAUCAGGCAUGUGUAGGAAAAGGAAUAGAUAGCAAACCAAACUAAUGCAACUACAAUGCCUGUAAUAAACAACGAGUAUAAUGCUCAUGAUGCAUGCAUUUCUCUUUUACCUUUAUCUUUACCUUUACCCCAUCCUCUUGGUUAACCUUUUGGUUAAACCCAACUCACCAAACCAAAUCCUUUUUUGUCGGGGAGAAUUCCACUACAACCCGACGGGACAGUCUGCUGUGAGAAUUCCGCUACUGCCCAGUGGAUGACAACUCCGGAGCUCACCGCUUGAGGUGGAGCGACCACUCUCAAGCAUAUCAGACUACCUGUGAGUACGAUCCAAUUCUCAACUUUGAGGAUACCAUAUCACUAUUGCCACAAAGUUCAUAAGGUUUUCUUUGUCUAGCAUUCCAUAUUUUUAGGUGCUAAUUAAUCCAUCUAGUCACAAUGUCACCUUGUUUACUAUUGUCAAUCCAACACUUUGCUCAUACAUUCAUAGGGUUUCUAUGUUCAUGGUCCUUUGUCAUUUCACCUGUACCUUUACAAUGAAAGCAUAUAAGAAAUCCCAUAUCUUAGCCACAUAUCACAUUAACCCUACAAUGCAUGAAGUCAACACUAUACACAUACAAACAUGCUCAAAGAGGUGACAUAGACAUAAUGAGAAAUUCGAAUAUUUCGGAUAGCACCACCCAUCUCAUAGGGAUGCCGGAAUGCGAGAAUCCAAGUCUCGCGAUUUUUAGAUGCCUAAUUCUCUCGACCCACGGCAAACGAAGGCAAAAUGAGAUUUUCCUCAAUAUCUUGCCGUAGACUCGUCGGAACUUCGAUCCAAGUCUCCCAACGCUUUGAAUUAACCUUAAUUAGGAAUACAAGAGAUUAAUUUCAUAAUAGAUCUCCAUUCCUAUAAAACUCUAUUUCCAAACCUAGGGUUUACACAUAAUACCCAUAUCCAAAUUUCCUAGGAUUUCAUAGCAUAACCUAAGCUCUUGAAAUCCAAAAACCUCAAAAACUAGCAAAUUAGGGUAAUUAAGCUAAACCCUAACAUAUGAUUGCAAGAGACCUACCUUGGCUCCUUGCUCCACAAAGCCUUUCUUGUUCUUGAGCUUCUUCACUACCAAAACCACCAAUUUCCUCCUUCAAUUCUCCUCCAAUUCCAUCUUGAGGGAGUAAUUCUAGAGAGAGAAAGAGAAGGAGAAGGAGAUGAAGGAGAUGAGGAGGAGGAGAAAACAAGGUGUUCUCUUACAUGAGAAUACCAGGUGGAGGGUUGGGGCUAUUUAAAGACCCCAACAUUUACAAUUAAGCCCCCCACAAAUGCUCACGUUCAGUCCUUACAAUCUGGUCCCUCGCAGGCUGAGUCUCGGUACUCGGGUUGGAGUACCGGUACGCGGGGCUCCCAGUACCGGUACCAGCCACUCAACCUGAGAGCUGCGCAAUUGGGGUUUAAUACAGGGUACCAGUACGCACUGCCCAGUACAGGUACACAACAAGUCCAGUACCGGUACUAGCUACGCGGUACCGGUACACACCCAAGCAGCAACCAAACUCGAGAGCUAGCCUCUCGGGCAAGCUCACAGAGUACCGGUACGCACCUCCAGUACCGAUACUCAGCCUCUCAGGGUCCGAAACCCGAGAGUUGAGCCAAUUGCACUUCUAUUGGGUAUUGGUACUGCAUUGCCUGGUAUCGGUACUCAAUGUUAUUUCUGCAGUUCCAGCAGCUAUGAUGUUUCGGAGUCCGUUUUCGCGUCGGGUUUGCGCCGAAAACACCCAAACACUCCCGAAACACCUUCGAAACAACUCAGGGACUUUACUUAUAACCUACAUACUACACUUUGAUCAAUUUGAUCAAAGUUAGCAUUGCGAUUCAGGGAUUCGGUAUAUUACAAGCUCCACCCGAGCUCGCCAAUAGAUCCGCCACAUACACAGGAAGCCUUGUGUACACGAAGUGAUAGAAGCACCUGUAAAUAGUACAAGAACUACUAGAGAGUAACAAAUCUACUAAAAACACGAUCCAAAAUGUUUAAGCCAAUGGCUCAAACCACUGUUAGGUUCAAACCACCGGCCCAAAAUGUUUAAGCCUAGUUAUUAUUACUAGGGUCCCUAAUCUUUAUAUACGACCUUUUUUUUUCAAUUUAAUCCUUUAAAAAUUUAUAAUUUGCCAAAUGACUCUAUAAAAAUUUUAUUUGGCCAAAUAACCUUAUUUUGUCCAACUUAGUGGUGUGAUGGAAGAACAAUUGGCAGACGGUGAAUCAUUUACCGUUUUUAAUGAAAUUUAGAAGACGGCGAAUCAUUUACCGUUUUCUUUUAAUAAAGAAAACGAUGAAUAAUUUACCGUUUCUUUCUAUUUCUCAUAUAUAACCCUAACGACCACAUAAAAGUUUCAGUAAAGCAUAUACAAUCCUAACAACCUAAAAUAUCCUAAUAAUCUACUCAUACAAUUAUAACAAUCAAACAAAAGUUCUAGUAAUCCAUGUACAAUCCUAACAAACUCAUAAAAGUUUUUACAACCUAUAGAAAAGUACGAUAACAAUCUAAAAACGGUAAAUGAUUCACCGCUUUCUAAAGGCGAUGACUGAUUCACUAUGUUCCUCAUUCUUGUCCAAUAUAGCAUUGAGUUGGCAAAAGGAGGUUAAUUGGCCAAACAAAAUUUUGGAAGGGCCAUUUGGCAAAUUAAAAAUUUUUAUAAGGUUAUUGUAAAAAAAGUCUUUAUAUACCCAAUCAUAAUCUCUUUCCCAUCUGAUGUGAGACUAUUGGUGUUGCAAACUACUCCGGUUGAGAUCCUGACGUCCUCGUUAGGUUCAAGCCCAAUCACGUAUAGACCAGAAUUGUCAGAUGAUGUGAGAUUCUAGAGGUGGCUUGCGGUUCAAGAGUCAAGCUCCAAACCCAACAGGUAACAGACGCCGCAUACCUGCUUAGCAAAUAUGUGAGACUACAAAAUCCAACAACGAAUUAGACAAAACAAUAGUUACAAAAUUCCACUUAUUACGUGGUACAGAGAAAGGAACAAAGCAAAGACAAAUAAAACCAAACGAUAGUCCACGGAAAACCACUUAACAUCUAGCUAACUACACAAAGAACUAUUAACAAAAGAAAGUAACUCGAGCAACAAGCUAUGACUAGCAUUUACUUGAUGUUGUCCCCGCCUAGCAAUAGAGUCUCGAUAUCUAGAUAAACAACCAAACACCGCAUUAGUCAGAUUAAGCAUAUAAAUAACUAACAGCUCUGAAUUAAAAUUUGUGUAUAGAAAUACAGUUUAAACGACUGGUUUUUCAUUCACAAAAUUAUGGAAAAUAGAUAUUAUCGUAGUUUCGGAUUCAUAUCAAUUAGAAGAGAUUGUAAAAUAACGAAGUGCUUUGCCUUCUGAAAAUAAACCAAAUUCAAAAUAAGCCUCCGGCAACUAACUACAUAGAGUGACCUGUUGCUGAGGUCCAAAGGCAACUGUAGGGGCAUAAACGGAGUAGAGGCACCCGAAAGUGCGAUUACAGACAGAAGCAUUCAAAGGUAGAUAGAGGACAAAGGCGUUUUAAGGCUCAGGCACCCAAAGGCGCAUUACAAAGUCGAAGCUAGCUUCAAUAAUAGUAUACAUGCCGACAUGGCCAACAUUAUCUUAGCAGAAUAUCAAGAGACGUUAUUAUUUAAAGUAUUUACCCAACUAAUAAUUUACAAAACAAAUUAUUGAAGUUUAGAAAUUCUUACUAAGAGAACCUGUUAGUCAAAGUCAAAACCUUUUUUUUUAAGUACGUAAUAACAUGCUUAAUCCUUAUUUUCAAAAAUCUACAAGAACAAGAAUUUUCUUAUACUCUGAAUGUUUUUCUAUAUUAUGUUGCAAAAAAUUAACGGGCAUCUGGCAAGUUUAUGCCGCAAAUAGGAAUCAACUCCCUUUUCGAAUACUCGAAAGGCAGGGACUAUAAAACAAACAGUCCAUGAAUAUCAAUGGCGGGGCAAAAAGAAAAAAGGCAACAAAAAGAGGAGCGGCUAAUUUAGCUCAGUCAAGUUCUCCUAUUGGUGUGUUGGUGUCAAUUAGACAAUCAACCUGAGUAGGCCCCCAAAACCAAGGGGUACUAACUAACAGCUGAGUUACCUUCAAAAGUAGCUUUUGAAACUAUCCGGUCGAAAAUGCAAAGAAUUAAACUCCCGACCCUUAUCAAAGAUGGUGAAGAAGACGGCGAUGAACGAAGUGUCGUCGACAACGAACCAAAUGAUGUAGCCAAACCAAACAAUGUUGACGAUGAACCAAAUGAUGUCGACGAUGAUUGAGGAGCACAGCAACAGCCAAGAACAAUGGCGGCGAUGUCAGAGGACAAGUAUCAAAGGGGUAUCGUGCGCAUGUGUGAGAAAAAGAGAGGGAGAGAGCACAAGAGAGAUGCGGUUAUGAGAGAGAGAGCAUGGGAGAGAAAGAGGGCGACUUGGAUGGGGUUACGAACAAGGAAAGAGAGGAAAAAUAGCGGUUAAUUUGCACAAAAAGCUGCCAAGCUCCUCUACUGUUAAAAAUUACAAAAAAUUCCAAAUUUUAAAAUAAAGGGUCAAUAACUAGUAUAGGGUACUACAGCUUUUCGCUCUCAAAGUUGGCCCUCCAACACUAGCAUUGAUGUUCUCUCUCUUUUCACUAAAACAUUCUCAAUAUAGUGAUGAUUAGUUUCCACUAGGGGGCUGUUUGAUUUCACAUAAAGCUGUGGAAAACUUUUUUCGGAGAAAAAGAGUUUGCAGUGGAAAAGUAAUUUUACAUUCUUUUUAUUUGGUUGGCUAGAAAGGAAAAUCAAAAUUCAAACUAUAGUUGUUUGGUUUGCUGAAGAAAAUGAAAAGCUAAUUUUGUAAUAUAUAAUAUGUAAAUAAUUUUUAUACUUAAUAUACAAUGUAAAAUUAUAUAUAGUAUAACAUAAUGAAAUAAUAUACUGUAUAAUAUUGUAUUAUAAUAUAUGAUAUUAUAUAUAAAUAUAUUAGUAUAUUUAAUAUAUUAUAUAAUAUUUUAUGUAAACAUAACAUAUGCAAGGAGAAGGGAAAACCGACAAUCGGUCCAUAGAGUUUCUGCUAAAACUUGUGGACUGUGUUUGUAAGCUCGUGAGCCGCGAUUAUGUGCCCCCAACAUUUUGUUUUUUGCUAUAUUCGAGUAGAAGACAAAAUGCUUUCUUUUUCAGAUUAUCUGUAAAGUUGUUUUAUGCGAAAAAUAAUUUUAUGAUGAACAAACACAUUGACAACUAUUUUGCACCUAAAAACUAUUUUGCACCUGAAAAAAUAGUUUUUGGUGUACUAUAUGUCACGCCCCGAGCCCACAGCAGAAGCCUUGCGGGCAUGUGCGCAGACUCGCCGAACAGACAGAGUUCCCCCGUCCGCACGAAGCGUCCAACAAAAUAUAGCAGUAGCAAAGGAUUUCAAGAGUCAACAUUAAUAAUUCCAAAGUCCACAACUAAACACAAAAUAUCAGAGCGAUAUAUGUAAAACUAAACUAAACAAUUAUCACUAUCCAUACAAACAUACAACCAUACAUCCCAAAAUAAAAUAUAGUAUACAAUCUCAAAAUCAACUAGCUGGUGGUCCUCUAAAACUCAUAUACACGGGUUGGAGGUGCUAUCUACGGCGCGAUCCUCUUACCUCGAUCAUCUGUCAAUGUAGAUGUCUCUGAAAAGUAAACAACAAGAGGGCGUAAGAAUUACUAAACAGUAGUUCCCAGUGGGUAAGGUCGGCGACAACAAUGGCCUUCUCACUAGGUCUACUACAGACAAGCAUAGAGAAAGUAUAGUAAGGAAUGCUAUAAAACGAGUAAUAAAGUAUAAUAUGAAUGAUAUACAUUUAUUAAAUUAUCAUGCCUCAACACGUAUAAUGAAUAGGAGACAAGAUGACUAAUAAUAAAUGCAAGGUAUCACCCACUCACAUGCAAUUCAAUCAACACAUGGUGACCCAAUUAUAAACUGACCAACUCGUAAGUCACAUAUGUAAUGAACAGGAGAUAAAUUAGCUAGAGUAUGCAUUAGAGCUGAUACUAAUGCAGUAAUAGUACCCAAUCGCAACGACCGAUUCAUAGGUCCGGUCAAGCCUGCGCCCGUCUAGUGUGUGGACACACUCUCCCAGGUAUGACGGCAAUAUUUAGGCUACUGUCUCUGCUAUUGUUGGCCAGCAUCCAAAGUGGCACUCAAGGGGAGCAACUCUUACCGAGUCUAAUAGCGCGUAACUCUAUCAUGCUCAUUGUGGCAUUUGCAGGCUAUAGUCUAUGUGAUGAUCAAAAGAUCACAGGUAACCAAUACCAAGUUCUGAACACAUUCAUAGACGGUCCACUACUCAUGAGUGAUACUAGUACAAUUUUAGAGCAAUUCCAAAGUCAAAUAGCAUAAUGGAGAUCAUCACAUACCUUUUAAUGCACAACCUGUUCUCUACUGCUGGGCUAACCUAUGAGUUUUAAUACAUAGAUCAUAAUAUAUGCCAUUCAAUUAAUCAAUACGUAAACAUAUUCAAUGGCCUCUUAUCGCGUAUUAUCACAGAAGCAAUAUAUCCACACUUGGGAAUUCGCUAAUCUAAAGCUACUAAAUCACUUAUCAAAAAGCUCUGAAUCAUUCUCAUGUAUCUUUCAACAUAACUAAUCAACAUAUAAAAUGCAAUUAGUCAGUGUAUAUAUGUAAUACAGAUGAACAAUAGAUAACUCAUAGCUAUACAUGUGAUGUCAAAUGGCCCCUCCCGGCCUAAUUUGGUAUAUAUAAAAUGGUGUACUAAUAGGAAUUCAAUAUAUUAGAGCAAUUUGACCUAUUACUUACACCAUCUAGCUUAGAUCACUACACAUAUAUGUCUCAUAUAAUCCAUUCUUUCUACUUAAUAUCAUACUAGUACUACUCUCUACCAUCAUAUAUAACCAUAUACAUAGGGGUGUAAUGUCGGCCGUGCCGGGCUGAUUCAGGCCAAGGGUUGUGCCGGCCCGACCAGCUUGCAAAUUCGGGCUAGGCCUUGUCGGCCCGUUUUCUUGGAGGGGAAGGCUCGGCCUGGCCCCUGGCCCACCCAGGACGGGCCGGGCCGGGUCGAGCCGGGCUUCAGGCCAGCCCGGUAAUAGCCAAUAGGCUUUUUUUCCCCUAUCAUUUUUUUUAAAAAAUUAUUUUUUUUAAGAAAAAGAGUUUAAAUUUUACCUUUUUGACUUACAGUUUUUAAUUUACACAACUAUACCCAACCUUUUUAAAACUCUUUUAAAAAUUUUAUAAAUUUUAAAAAAAACUAAAACACAAGCAAUAAAUUUAACUUCUGAACAUAAAAUUAAUAUUUGUUUUUUUUCAUAAUUUUUUAUCAUUUGAAGAGAAAUUGAUAUUCGAAAAAAAAGGUACAAAAAAUAUGUAAAAUUUGAAUUAAUCAUAUAAUAUAAUUNCUCUCUAUAUAUAUAUAUAUAUAUUUUACUGCUCCGUCUUUUCCUAUAAAAUGACCUUCUCCUUUUCCUGGGGCACGUAAUUAGAUUAACAGAAGGGCGCGCUGCCAUUUCACAUUCGUAUGUAUAUGGGACGGGAGAGCAUGCAUAUUGCAAAUGUGCAGAAACUGUUCAAGCACUAUACUCUUUGAAAUUGGGUGGCCCAUAUAUGCAUGUGAAGAGAUGUUGCUAUAAUAAGAGUGUCCUUAGGCCAAAGAUACACUGUACUGCUCGGUAAUGUCUAGCUGUUUCUUUUCCCUUAUUAGUUCUGCUAAUUUAAUUCUUCAUAAUGUUGCUCUGGACCACUCUGCACCCAGGGGAGAUUAAUAACCAAAUCUACCCAUUUGUAUUUACUGUUUGCCCUCCUAUAUAUAUAUAUAUAUAUAUUUAUUGCAUGCCUGAUCAGUGGUGGUUGCCAUCAAACUCUACAGUAAAUUUCCAGCAACCAAAUUUAGUAAUUACUACAUGCGAUACCCUUCUUUUGAAGGACAACUGCAGGGGAAGGGAAAGAAACUUCUUAUUUAUUGUCAAGAUUACUACGUACUAGCAAGGGCUGUAAAACUAUUUUUUUUUAUUUUUUUUAUUUUUUUAUUGUGUCUAUGGCAGUUGCUCGAACAGCUCAAUGCCUGGUUUAGGAUUGUGUUUCCCGGUACAACUCAAUUAAAGACCUUUCAAUCUUCCCGGCUGCAAUUCUCACCUCAAUUUUACCUUUAAAUUUGUUAGACCGUACGGAGUAUAAAAGCGGAUAAGUUUGGCGACACAAAUCCAAACUAGCCCUAACAUUUUAAUUGCAUGGGAGCAUUUUGAUAUGAACUAUUUUUUUAUUGUAGGGAUUCGGAAUCAACAACGGAGACCGUUAAACAUAAUUUAGGUCUUCUCGAACCAAAUUUUGUGAUUUUUGAAUAUUAUUUUCUAGCACAUCAAGCGGGCACAAAAUUAAAGGCUCAAACCGAAUAAUCUUGUGAAAAAGAGGAUAGAAUUGUUCAAGUUUAUUGAGGCCGAGCAUGUUGAUCUUGAUCAAAAUAGUUGGAAGAAUUUCGUAGCGAAAAUCCAAUUAAACUAGACUCUUCUACAUUGUUAAAGCAAAAAAGUCUUUGUUAAUUCUAAAAUGUUUCAAUUAAUAUAUAUAUAUAUAUAUGAAGUAGAAAACUCACUCAAUUUAUUUUCUAUAGAACUCAAAUAUCCUAAAUCAUAUUUUACUUGAUUGUCUAAUAAAAUAAUUUUGAUAGUCAAUAAUUAAUGACUAGGCAGUUCCAUGGCAUUAGCACUGUUGCUAUAACUAACUCAUUCACAGCAAUCUUCCGGAUAAAUUUGUGUGCAGCUGUUAUUUUCGGUCAGAAGAAUAGCAGCAAUAAAGUGCGUGCAUGGAAGCAGUAGUAUACAAUGUCAAUGUCAUGGACCUCUUGUGGGCAUGUGAGUUAUUACUGUAUAUUUUGCAAGAGGGCAAAUUUCACCGCCUAGCCAAUAAAUUUUUGUGCCGGAGAAUGGAAAGGACGGUUUAGCUGACCGCGUCCAACUAACAAAGUAUACGUCGAUUGCAGCAGACCGGCUUUGCGCCUUUAUAUAUUCUCGGCACUGUUAUUGGCCCGGAGUAUUGAGGGGAGAUCAUAAGCGUGCAUGCAGGGAAGGUGAUUUAAUUAAUUAAUUAAAGGACUAAUUUCACCUGCGGCGCAUACGCUACUCUGCUAACUUGUCGGGAUUAUGUUUCGCAGAUGGAGGAGUCACAUCAAUUCUUGAGCACGCCGUAUAAAUUCUCGGAUGGAACUUUGAGAAUUUUACGUUGUAUUUUGGAUAGUAAGUUAAUUUCUACUUUAUUUAAAAUCAAGCUGCUUCAAUUAGCGGGAAAGUUAUAUAAAGACCCCAUGACGCUGUGCAUGAUUUCUUAAGUUUGCACAUUAAGGUUUAUUGUUUUGUCGAGAAAAUUUAAUUGUAAAAUCUUCUGCAUUAAAAGUGAGAAUGUGGCUCUUCUAAGGUGUUCUAUUACUCCGAAUGGCAUGGCAACUAGCUAUACGUAUAUAAUUCACGCAAAAUUGGACCAGCACAGCACAGCACGGCACAGCACACUCCAGGGGGAUGGAUUUGCACUGUGUUUGACCAAUAUUGUAGUAGUAAUUAAUGUAUGUUGAUGGGCCAAUUAGUUAUGCCAAAUCUAGUCAUUUAUAUAUAUAUAUAUAUAAUGUAAUUUAAUUCUUCUUUUCAGAUGAGUUGAUUGAAUCUACUAAGUAAGAUCGAUCAAACUUGAAACUAGACAGGGAGGGUAACACACACGUACGACCGACCGACUUCAAAUGCUGGAAAAUUAUACUUGUACCAGUAAGUGAACGUACCGUGAGAAUUUUUUUGUACUCGAAUAUUAUAAACUGGACAUAGUCCGGGAGCGCAAAUUCACGAGAUCUCACGGAGUAGGGGACCAAGUAGUAGUUGUUAACAAAGUCAUUACCCCCGAGAGUGAUGAGAACGAGAGCCUGGUUCACUAGCUUCUUCGCCUGGUCCUCACCUAGGAGAGCACUCACCCGCUCCUGGUACUCCUCGAAGUAUAGCAGUUGCCUGCUAAUCCUAAUUAUGUUUACCUGCAUAUAUAUGCGCGCACGAUAUAUAUCCAGAUUAGAACGCGUCGUCGAUUUAUGAAAAGAAUUUUAAGUACAUCUAAAAUGGAAUGGAAUAAAUUUGUAGCGUCCGUACAAAUUGAAUUCCGGUGUCGUUGAGGAUUCCGAUCCCUGCCGAAGCGAAAUUCGCACCGACGAGUAGUUUUUCGCCUUGAAGCUCAGGGCUCAAGUAAGGCAAUGUGGAUUCGGCUCCCAGAUACUCGCCUGAGAUAUAUAAUUGCACCGCAAUGUGAGUGAAAAAAAAAAAAAGAAAAAAAGAUAGGAACUAAAUAUGUACAAAAUUAAUCUCAUCGUGGCUCUUUAUGCAUGCGGUUAACUGAUAAUGUCAGGGAUGUUAAGCCCAUUGGAGAAUCGGCCCGUCGGCCGGUGGGUAGGGUAGUCAAUCCCAUAAGGCGGGGCAUCGGCGCGCGCCGUGGUAGCCAAGUAGUUGUUGUUGCCGUUGUCGACGAGGGAAUCGCCGAAGAUAAAGAAGGCGCGCGCAUCGGAGACUGCGCAGAGGGUCCCUAAAGCUAAGAAACAAACAAGAGAGCAGAGGAGGAGGAGGAGGAGAAGAGAGGGGUGCAUCGUCAAUGUGAAAAUGCGCAAUCAAUCAAAUGGAAGUAGAAGAGGGAUCGUAAUAUAUACUAGCUAGUAGAAGAGCCGGCUCUGUAUAUAUAUUCACAUGAAGGGCCAGAGGAGGUGGUGGAUUUAUAUAGGACUCUGCUGGGCUCAAUUUAAGAGGGUGUGUGUGUGUGUGUGUGUGUGUGUGGGUGGUGGUUUGGAAGGGGCGAUCGAGGACCACAGAAAUAACUCCACACGCAAAUGAGUUUGUUAGUCGUUUGCCUCCUCAAUGAGUGCUAAUUUUCCAGUGGGAUGCACCUUCGAGGUAGUUGCUAGCUUUCUUUCGCUAUCACAGAGCCUAUGCACUAAGUAAUGUACUUUAGCAUUAAGGAACGGCAUAAUUAUAGCGGACUCAUGCUUGAGGUGCAUAUCCAUAUAUACAGCUCAUGCAUUGUUUCAAAUUCUUCAUGAUUAAUAAAAAUUAUUUUAAUUACAUGCACGUGACUUGCAACAUUUUAUAACAGAUUUGUAAUUUCUGAAAUUCUAAUACCUAAUAGUUCUAAAGAAACAAUAGUAUAAUAAAAUGCAUUGAUUGAUAUUUACAUCGGUUGGUAUGCAGGAUUUUCUAAUAUCGUAAUAAAACAUAUUCGAAAAAUUAAAUUCAGACUUUGACUGCUCGACGAUAUAUUUUUGUGAAUUAGGUGCUUUUCGUACCUAACUAUACUCCAUACUUCACACCUUUAGGUGGAGCUAAUUAGAUUGUACUGUCGUUAACAACACUAAGUUCUCAGUACUAUAAAACCAUUUUAGAUGCUACUAAUAGCACUAAGUUCUUAGUGCUAUAGAGUUAUUUUUACGGCUUAAGCAUUCGAUUGAACGUACGUUGGACACCACUAAAAUGAUCUAGAUCUAGCAUUUGAAUCUCUUAAUUAGUGAGCAUCGAUCCGAUUCGACAGUCGACAUUAUUAAAUAUUAUUAGGGCAUUUGAACUUUCCAGUACUUUUUUUUUUUUGAUCUUAUUUAACUGGUGAUCAAGCGGCCUUAAGAAGUGAUAAUUCAAACAGUGGGGUGUUCUCUAGUUUAACGGUGUAAAUAAUUCUAUUGUUGAAUUUUUAUAAAAAGUUCUUGUAGCUUUGUAGAACAAAUUAAUCUAUAAUUCCUAUCGUAAAUUUGUAAUUCCUAUCCCCUAUUUUGAGAAGACUGUUCAAUUUUAAUAGUUCUUUUUUGACGAGUUAAUUUCCUAGAAAAUAACUUUUCAAAUUCACAAAAUUUAUUUUUUAAAAAGUUCAAAUAUGUUAAAUUAUGUUUAACGAUAAUCUCGAUUUUACCCAAACACGCCCCAACAAAAGUUUUGCUGAUGGAUAAUGCGCAAUAACGUUCUACCUUGAUGGAAUUAAAAUGGCAGUUAUGAGCUGUCCAAGGUCGCUGUUUCACAUUCUAUUAGAACAUAUAUAGCGCAACUAAAUUAAGAAGGAGUAGCUGUAAAUAAAAAUUAAUUAUACGGAGCUAGCCCCGACCAGCCAACUCACUUUAUUGGCACUCUUCUUUCCAUGCAAGCAAGGAUGAACGAAUCGUGUGUAAUGCUUGGCUACUUUACAAAUUUUAGCGGAGUGAUUGAUUUUGUUAUAUAUCUCUUCUAGCUUUUCGGUUCUCAUUUUUCGAUAUGGUGUAUGUACAUGAAUAAGUAGCUAGCUAGAAAAGGUCACUCUUCCUCUCUCUCUCUCUCUCUCUCUCUCUCUCUCUCUCUCUCUCUCUCUCUCUCUCUCUCUCUCUCUCUCUCUCUCUCUCUCUCUCUCUCUCUCUCUCUCUCUCUCUCUCUCUCUCUCUCUCUCUCUCUCUCUCUCUCUCUCUCUCUCUCUCUCUCUCUCUCUCUCUCUCUCUCUCUCUCUCUCUCUCUCUCUCUCUCUCUCUCUCUCUCUCUCUCUCUCUCUCUCUCUCUCUCUCUCUCUCUCUCUCUCUCUCUCUCUCUCUCUCUCUCUCUCUCUCUCUCUCUCUCUCUCUCUCUCUCUCUCUCUCUCUCUCUCUCUCUCUCUCUCUCUCUCUCUCUCUCUCUCUCUCUCUCUCUCUCUCUCUCUCUCUCUCUCUCUCUCUCUCUCUCUCUCUCUCUCUCUCUCUCUCUCUCUCUCUCUCUCUCUCUCUCUCUCUCUCUCUCUCUCUCUCUCUCUCUCUCUCUCUCUCUCUCUCUCUCUCUCUCUCUCUCUCUCUCUCUCUCUCUCUCUCUCUCUCUCUCUCUCUCUCUCUCUCUCUCUCUCUCUCUCUCUCUCUCUCUCUCUCUCUCUCUCUCUCUCUCUCUCUCUCUCUCUCUCUCUCUCUCUCUCUCUCUCUCUCUCUCUCUCUCUCUCUCUCUCUCUCUCUCUCUCUCUCUCUCUCUCUCUCUCUCUCUCUCUCUCUCUCUCUCUCUCUCUCUCUCUCUCUCUCUCUCUCUCUCUCUCUCUCUCUCUCUCUCUCUCUCUCUCUCUCUCUCUCUCUCUCUCUCUCUCUCUCUCUCUCUCUCUCUCUCUCUCUCUCUCUCUCUCUCUCUCUCUCUCUCUCUCUCUCUCUCUCUCUCUCUCUCUCUCUCUCUCUCUCUCUCUCUCUCUCUCUCUCUCUCUCUCUCUCUCUCUCUCUCUCUCUCUCUCUCUCUCUCUCUCUCUCUCUCUCUCUCUCUCUCUCUCUCUCUCUCUCUCUCUCUCUCUCUCUCUCUCUCUCUCUCUCUCUCUCUCUCUCUCUCUCUCUCUCUCUCUCUCUCUCUCUCUCUCUCUCUCUCUCUCUCUCUCUCUCUCUCUCUCUCUCUCUCUCUCUAUAUAUAUAUAUAUAUAUUUAUACACACACACACACGCAUGCAGUUAAAAUCACUUCAACAACUGCAAAAUAUGCCACCGUAACUUUCUAAAAAAAGCAGUAAUCGUUCAAUAUCAUGGCAAUGCCACUUUAUUUAGUCACCGAAAUUACUGCGAGACCCUUGUCAAAGAUCUCCCAUAUAUAGGCGGCCUCUGAAUUUCACCAUGCACCUUAGAUUAUCAAAGUUUAGAAGCUGCUACUGCCAUAUGUAUACAAAUAUCUAUUCCUCUCUUUCGCAAUAUUUCUCAGUUAAUUAACCUUGCGUCUUAAUUAACCUUGCGCGCGGGUACGCAUAAUCCACUCCUGCGAAGACAUCGGUGGUGCACAAGUUUAUAUAUAUAGUUUGAGAAAGUAAGGUGGAGAAUCCAGUUCAGCUCCAUAAUUAACUUGAAAGAAAUUAAAUUCACCCAACACUUAAAAAAUUGACGACGCCACACUAACCACUGUUGCCAUUUAUGAUGGUGUCGGAGGCGAUUCGAAGCCCAUGAAAAAGCUCCAAACCAUACAUGUGAAAUCCAUAAAUAAGUGGGGUAGAAAGAUUAAAGUUGAGUAGCUAACUCCCAUGCGCCUCCCUAUGGAUCGCACGGUUAAUCUUUAUGAAAAACCAUCCACCCAUCUAUGCGCGUACCGCUCUCUUGAAAAUUAAAGCGAACAAAAUGGAAAAGAGAGUAAAAUUUUGACCCUAGCAUUUAAUUUGUAGCUGCUCUUGUAGUUGGAAGAAACAUUCAUGAAAGACAAAACUUCACUAGCUCUCUAAUCCGAAAGGAUUAAUUUGUUCGACUUAAUUAAUUGCUUCAUUUUUUUUUUCCUUUUUUUUUCUUUUUCUUUUUGAACGUUAUUUUGGUCCACAAUUUAAUUAUGUUGGCUGAUAUAUAGUUCAAAAUUAUUAAUGACACUUAUUAGCUGAGACUGCUGGGGCCGAGCCUCCGAGUUGAAGAUAACGGGAUAGAUGUCGUGCGUUUAUAAGCAAAUUCCAAUUAUUGAGACAAUAUAUAGUACAAUUCAUCAAAUCAAAAGAGAACCUAAUUGCUUGACUCCUCUUUGUGUUACAUAUAUAGUAGCUAGACUUCCUAGCUAGCUCCCUCUCUUUUAACCCUUGAUUACUCACCGGUUCCCUCUGAACAUUAGCAUUCGCAAUCUUUCACCUGCUGUUUUGCAUAUUAGAAACGAGAAAAAUUACUAUAUACGUGUACUGUAAAAAGUAGUGCGUUUAUAAAUUUAGAAGAUCCCUGAUAUUUUCGAAUCCACCUCAGCGAUGUCUCAAAAUUGUGAUUUGAUUUCUGUUCGGGGCACAUGCGAUCUGCGGGACGAUACCCACAAUUACGAACACCGGCCGAACUGGUUAUUAGUUAGUAGUUCGGAGUUGGGAAUUUUAUGCGUACAGAAGUUCUCAUGCACCAAAUUAAUAUUGCUGCUCAUUCAAAUCUUUCUCGAUACGCUCCCUACAUUCACAUCUAAUUAAGCUAAAAAUCCUAGUUUGGGAUUGCAAUACCUAAAAUCACCAGAUUAUUGCCAACAUUAAUUAAUAGAAUUAGAAGAAAGAAAAUUGGUGGGGCUCUCGGAUUUUGUUGCCCUCCGAAGCACGAGCUGGCAAUUUGGGCGACUCAAUUCCAAAAUAGGCCUAAAGUGCACCAUCGCUGGUCCUUAAAAAUUUUAAUUAAGUUUCACUUUUGAUCCGCGAUCUUUUAAAAUUAUUCUUUCAACGCAUUUUGAAGGUGAAUCUACUCUAUAAGGAGAAUACUGUGGAAGAAGCUCACACAGCAGAAUUGUUUCUAUUCACAAUAUAAUACAGUCUCAAUUAGUCUACAAAGGAAAUAAUCAAGAAAUACAAUAAUAAUUUAGUUUCCUCUUCUGUAGCACAGUUAUAAGGAAAUAUGCUAAUAGCUUCCUUUAUGUUAUAGCUCUAAUUAUAGACAUCUAUGCUGGUUUGUCUAAUGAAGGAAAGCGAUCCUUGGAGUUAAUUGAUCCUGGAGAGUGAUUGUCACCUAUACGCCCCCGCAAGAUAGGUGUACCGUUGUGAACACCUAUCUUGGAACGAAGAAGAGAAAAUUGCUGCUGUGAGAGAGGUUUUGUUAGCACAUCAGCAAGUUGAUCAUGAGUCGAUACAUGAGAUACUGAUGUAGGAGAGCUAGUGCACAAUCACAAUGCUUAAAACAGAGGGGGUAAGUGAAGCAAAAACAGCAAGGAAGAAGAGGGAUUCAAGCUUCUAGGGUUUAGUGACCCCAAAUAGAGCUUUAUGAUUUAUCUAAAAAAAAGGUUAUCUUCAGGGACUCCUCCUUACAACUCUUAAAAGAUUGAUUUUAAACAUAGAAGGCACUUGGGCUGCCCUAAUAUGAAUAAAAAGACGAUAAUACCCUUAAUGACUCAUAUGACUCAACUAAAGUAAUACAUAACUAUCAAGACUCAUAAACACAGUAAGGAAAUACUAUAAUACGCAAUCAAAUUAAAACCCAAAAUAAAUCUUCAACGUGCUUGAUUAAUCUUCUUAAGCUUCCUAAAUGCUCCUGCAUCAUCCUCCCCAGCUGGGAGAGAACUCAACUCCGAUGAGUAAGCUUUCAUGAACUCUUCAUAUGCCCCUAGAUCAGCCCGUUGGAGCUCCUCUUCAGUGAUCCAUGUACUUUCACUUGGCGAUUUACCUAGCCAUUUAAUUAGGAAUCUUCCGUAAAAAUUUCCCCUUCUGGACUUCAUCUCUUUGACAUCCAAAAUAUCUUCAACAACCUCGGCUUGUUCCUCCGGCAAGUUAGCGACCAAUUCAUCUAGUGUUGUUACACUUUCAUCAAAUCCCUCAAAAGCAUAAAGGUCGGCCACAUUAAAAAUUGGACUUAUUUGCAAACCUGCUGGCAGCUUAAUUACAUAGGCAUUAGAGCUGAUUAUUUUUAUAAUCUUGCAUGGACCUAACUUCUUUGACUUUAGCUUAUGGUAAGUACCAUUCGGGAAUCUUUCUCGCCUCAGAUGGACAAGGACCAUGUCACCUUCUUCAAAAUCUUUUCGUCGGCGAUGCUGAUUCGCAGCAGCUGCAUAAGAGUCAUUGCUAGCCUGGAUGGCAGCCCUCACCUCCUCAUGAAUUCGAUGAAUAUGUUCGGCAAAUGCCUCACCAUCAUCGCUCACUCUAGCUUCUGGUGGAAGGGGAACCAAAUCAAGGACAUGUUGAGGUCUUAGCCCAUAAGCGGCUUCAAAUGGAGUCUUCUUCGUAGUUCUGUUCACUGAAUCAUUAUAGGCAAAUUCAGCUUGUGGAAUGAUGGAAUCCCAAGUUUUCACAUGAUUUCCAACAAGGCAUCGAAGCAGAUUUCCUAAGCUUCUAUUGACAACUUCAGUCUGCCCGUCAGUUUGUGGGUGGCACGUAGUAAAAUACUUUAGUUGAGUCCCAAGCUUGCGCCAUAAGGUUCGCCAAAAAUGUCCCAUGAACUUUACAUCUCUAUCAGAGACAAUCGAUGUUGGAAGCCCGUGUAGCCUCACUAUCUCUUUGAAAAAUAAUUCAGCAAUAUGUGAAGCAUCAGCAGUUCUUGAACAUGGUAUAAAGUGUGCCAUUUUCGAAAAACGAUCUACUACCACUAAAAGAGAAUCAUGCCCUUUUGCUGUUUUUGGUAGCCCAAGCACAAAAUCCAUACUAAGAUGAACCCAAGGAGCCUCUGGAACAGGUAAAGGAGUAUAUAAUCCAGUAUUUUGGGAGCUCCCCUUGUUAAGUUGACAUAUUUGGCACCUUCGAACUAGUCUGUCCACAUCUUUGUACAUUUUGGCCAAUAGUAACGGUUAGCAACCAUGGCCAUUGUCUUGUCUCUUCCAAAAUGCCCUCCUAGGCCGUUUCCAUGAAGCUCUCAUAUUAUCUGCUCCCUCAAAGAACCUUCAGGAAUGCACAAUUGAUUUCGUUUGAAAAGAUAACCAUCAUGCAUCCUAAAUGCUGUUAGUUUGUCUGCAGCUGAUUCUUGCAAAUCAGUAAAUAUGGAGCUGAAAUAUGGAUCAAAUUUGUACUGAUUUUUUAAUUCGUCAAAUCCAGUCACUUGGGUAUUCAUCAUGGUCAAUAGCAAAGUACGCCGACUUAAUGCAUCUGCUACCUUAUUACACUCUCCCGACUUAUAUUUGAGUACGAAAGUGAAAUUUUGAAGAUAGGAACUCCACUUCCCAUGGCGCUGAUUGAGCUUCUUUUGGGAGUUUAGAUGCUUUAGUGCUUGGUGAUCCGAAUAAAUAACAAAUUCUUGGUAUGCAAGGUAGUGCUCCCAGUGAUGAAUUGCGCGUACCAAAGCAUAGAACUCUAGAUCAUAAGUAGAAUACCUCCUUUUAGCUUCAUCUAACUUCUCACUGAAAAACUCAAUUGGUCUUCCUUCUUGGCUGAGAACAGCUCCUAUCCCCAUUUGCGAAGCAUCACAUUCCACUGUGAAAAGCUUCUCAAAAUUCGGUAAUGCAAGAAUCGGAGCUUCAGUCAUAAAUGUCUUGAUUUUCUCAAAGGCCCUUUGUGCUGAAUUAGUCCAUGUGAAUUUCUCAGUCUUGAUGCAUUCAGUUAUUGGAUGCAUGAUAGUGCUGAAAUUCUUAAUGAACCGUCGAUAGAAAGAUGCUAAUCCAUGAAAGCUUCGCACUUCCCCAACUGAUUGCGGAACCGGCCACUCCAUAAUAGCUGUUAUCUUUUCUGGAUCGGGAUGUAGCCCCUCAGAUGAAAUAAUAAAGCCCAAAAACACAACUCUAUCACACAAGAAAGAACACUUCUUCAAAUUUACAUAGAGUUUCUCAUGGUGAAGCACCCCCAUAACCUGUUGUAAAUGCUCCAAAUGCUCCCUUUUGGUCUGACUAUAUAUUAAGAUAUCAUCAAAAUAAACAACCACGAAUAACCCCAAAAAAGGUUUAAGUACCUCGGUCAUAACUCGCAUAAAAGUGCUAGGUGCAUUAGAGAGCCCAAAUGGCAUUACAAGCCAUUCGUAUAGUCCAUCAGGAGUCUUGAAAGCAAUCUUCCACUCGUCCCCACCUCGCAUUCGAAUUUGAUGGUACCCACUCCUCAAAUCUAUCUUUGAAAACACCGUUGAACCAACUAACAUAUCUAACAUUUCAUCAAGUCGAGGUAUUGGGAACCUAUAUUUUAUCGUAAUCCUAUUAAUUGCACGGCUAUCAAUACACAUUCUCCACGAACCAUCCUUUUUGGGUGUAAGGAGAGCCGGAACAGCGCAAGGACUCUUGCUCUCUCGGAUUAUUCCUUUGGCUAUGAGGCUUUCAACCUGUCCUUUCAUUUCAGCUCGUUGUACAGGUGGCAUUCGGUAAGCAGGUAGAUUUGGCAGACUAGCACCAGGUAUUAAGUCAAUCGCAUGCUGAAUACUCCUCAGCGGAGGUAAACCAGGUGGAAAAUCAUCCCCGACCAGCUCUUUGUACUUCUCCAAUAGCUGCUGAAUUUCAAUAGGAUAGUCUUCGAACAUCACAACUAUGUCUCUUUUCUCAUUUCUACCAAUCAAAGCAUAAACAACACCCGACUUAACACAUUCCUCUUCGAAUUCUGGGCCAGCCACAAGGCCAACUACUUUACACUUCUUAGGGGAAGCAUCGAUUUCUUCCCUCAGAGGAUGUAAAGUGAAAGUUUUGGUUCCUUAUUUGUAUGAGUAUGUAUUAGGCCUAGUGUAAUGAGUCAUAUCCUUAUCAUACAGCAAAGGUCUUCCUAAUAAGAUAUGGCAAGCAUCCAUAGGCACGACAUCACACCAUACUUCAUCACUAAUAUUAUGCCCCAUUGUAAAAUUUACAAGGCAACGAGUAUUAAUCGGUACCUCAUUUCCUUUGUGAAACCAUGUAACUUUAUACGGAUGAGGGUGUUUCUCUGUUGGUAGCUUCAAUUUUUCCACAGCUUCUUUAGAAAUGAUGUUUUCGCUGCUUCCACCAUCAAGGAUCACGUUACAAACAUUUCCACCACAAAAAACUCGUGUGUGAAAGAUGUUAUGACGCCACCAUCAUCUUCCUCAGCCCUGGGAGUGAUCAUGACACGCUGCGUAACCAGAGAUUCCCUUUCAAUAGGAUAAACAUCUACAUGCUCCUCGGCGUCUUCAUAGUGAUCAUAUAUUGGCCCCAAAUCCUCUUCGUCGUCAUCAUCAAACUCAGUAAAGUUAACCCUCCGUUUAGGACAAUUAUAUGAUCCGUGGCCAUAAUCACCACAAGCAUAGCAUCGACCCCGCAUUUGAUUCUCACCCCCAUUGUGACUUCUAUUAGGACUGUUUGGAGUACCAAAUCUGACUAUUCCUUUUCCUUUUUCAUCUUUAAGCGCUCUACUAGUGUCCUUUCGUGGUGUUUGGUUAGCAUUAUUAGCUCCUCGAUUAGUUCGUAGGCUGGUUGGAUCACUCUGAGCAGCAGGAACGACAUUUGUAGCUCUUUGUAGGGUAAUCCCUGAGCGACCAACCAUAGGUUUUCUCCCCCCAUAGCGUAGAACUCUCUUCUCAGCCAUUAAGGCAUAUUGUCGAGCAUCUUCAAGACUAAAUAAACGAGCAACCCCUAUCUCAUCCCUAAUGGCCUGGUUCAAACCUGAGAGGUAACGAGAAGUUAACUGCUCGUUACUCUCACUUAAACCAACCCGAAUAGAGAGAUUAUUAAACUCAGAUGUAUACUCAUCUACUGACAUACUUCGUUGCUUAAGAGAGUGAAACUUUUCAUAUAACUCCAUUGCAUAAUCAGCAGGCAAAAACUGUUUGUGCAGUUUUGUUUUCAUAUGCUCCCAAGUACUAAUUUUCUGUUUACCUUGACGACUCCGCUGCUCCUUAAUUCUUUUCCACCAUUGUAGUGCAGCUCCUUUCAACUUAAGCUUUACGAACAAGACCUUCCUUUCUUCAACCAUGGGUUUCCAUUCGAAAUAGGUCUCUAGACUUGCUUCCCAAUCCAAGUAGUCUUCAGCAUGCAUUUGGCCAAAGAAAUCAGCCACCUCAAUUUUAAUGCCUGCGCCAUUGAGGUCUAAUGCACGCACUAAUCUGUCUUCUAAUCCAAUUCCACGCUCUUGCUCUUCUCUAAAACCAUGUCCAUGAAAGGGAUUGAUGUCUUCUCUGAAAUCAGUAUGUUCUUCAUCCUCAAGGCUACCUUCCGGAGUGCCAAAAGGGUCACGGUCGCCGUCGAGAGCUUCCCUUCGGCCGGCCGCAUUUUCUCGUCGCUGGAGAGUUCGAACUACCCGCGACAGGUCUUCAACCGUGUGCCUCAACUCCACAAUCUCAGCAAGUUGUGCCUGUUGUCCUCUCCCACCACGGCCUCCCCUACCACGAGCUGCCAUGGAAUAAGCUCAAGCUAACUAAAAGAGGAUUAACUCAAGCUCUGAUACCACUAUUGAUGUAGGAGAGCUAGUGCACAGUCACAAUGCUUAAAACAGAGGGGGUAAGUGAAGCAAAAACAGCAAGGAAGAAGAGGGAUUCAAGCUUCUAGGGUUUAGUGACCCCAAAUAGAGCUUUAUGAUUUAUCUAAAAAAAAGGUUAUCUUCAGGGACUCCUCCUUACAACUCUUAAAAGAUUGAUUUUAAACAUAGAAGGCACUUGGGCUGCCCUAAUAUGAAUAAAAAGACGAUAAUACCCUUAAUGACUCAUAUGACUCAACUAAAGUAAUACAUAACUAUCAAGACUCAUAAACACAGUAAGGAAAUACUAUAAUACGCAAUCAAAUUAAAACCCAAAAUAAAUCUUCAACGUGCUUGAUUAAUCUUCUUAAGCUUCCUAAAUGCUCCUGCAUCAGGUAUCAAAUAAAAAAGAAAAGGUGCAACGACUAAUAGGCAAUAGUGAGGAGAUCAGGGCGAUUGCACUCUAGCAUGCCACAAGUGUUGGUAUAUUUUUAGGUAGUUGAUUCUGUUUCAUCUGAAGAUGUUGACUCAUGGCCUUUUUUAUCUUUUAUUCUUAAUUCUGCAGCUCGCCAAUCUUUUAAGCAGACUAAAAUUUCGACCACAUCCUCCUUAAGCUGGGUUCUAUAAUCAUUCAAUAUUCUUCCACCUGCACUAAAAGUAGACUCGGAUGCCACUGUUGAAACCUGCACAGUUAGUAGAUCACGUGCCAUAGCAGAAAGCACGGGAUAUGUACUUUCAUGUGUUUUCCACCAGGCUAAAAUAUCCAAUUUAUCUGAUUCAUUUUCAUUAAAAAAAUUUGAAAAAUCGGCUUGCAAGUAAAACUGAAGUUCAUUAAAAGAAGGUGCACUAAAAUCCGUUUGUUUUGUUUUCUUACAAAAGAAAAAAUUAUAUUUUUACUAGUUUUACCACUACUACUGUUGCUACUUUGUAACUAUGAAGAAUAUGGUCACUUACUACCCAAAGCAAUUGCAUAAACACUAUACAUUUCACAUAAAAUACUAUUUACUAUUUGAAAAAUAUUUUCCCUAUUUGAAUAAUUUGUUGAAUUAAUUUCUAAAAAUUCAUUAUAUUGUGUAAGAGCAAUUUCUACUCCAUAUAAUUUAAUUCUAGGAUCCAUUAUAGAGGCCAAAAGAGGUACAAUAGGAAUUUCUUCCCAAUAUUCUUUAAAUUUAGAUUCCAUCAUAAUAACAAUUUGACCUAAAAGGGGAGAAUUCCUAUAUUCAGCAAAAUGACUACUCAUAAGUAAAAUUUGAUUAAGAAAAUGGCAUGAAGUAGACUAAUACACACCUGACAAAAGUUUGGUUGACUCAUAAAAUAGUUGCAAACUAGUCAUAAGAAUUUGUCCAAUGUCCCAUUCUUCAUUAGUUAUGGGAUUAUGCUGCAUUUUCUUAUUACAAAGAAUAGAUAAAACAUUUCUAUACUCAUAACAAUAUUGCAACAUUUUAUAUGUGGAAUUCCAUCGGCCAAUGUCCCAUUCUUCAUUAGUUAUGGGAUUAUGCUGCAUUUUCUCAUUACAAAAAAUAGAUAAAACAUUUCUAUACUCAUAACAAUAUUGCAUCCUUUUAUAUGUGGAAUUCCAUCGGUGUUAAACAUCAAAAAUAUUUUUUUUGUUUUUUGGCCCAAUUGUUUACAUAAACUUUUAAAAUCUUGUUUUCUUCGACCUGAACUAUGAAUAAACAUAAAACAAUCUUUUAAUUUUUUUAUUUGUGGACUAAUUAUUUUUAAUCCCUCAUGUACACACAAAUUUAUAAUAUGACAUGCACAUUUAUUAUGAAAUAAUUUUCCAUUUAAGAUGGGAUGCAAAUUAUUUUUCAAAAUUUGAACUGCGGUUCUAUUAUUGCUAGCAUUGUCAAAACCAAUUGAAAAUAUUUUUUGGCUAAUGUUAUAAUUUUGCAAAACAUUUUAAAUAGCCUAAGCAAUAUGAAUACCAGUAUGUGGAAACUCAAGUUCUUGAAAACCAAUAAUUCGUUUUUGUAAUAUCCAAUUAGAAUCAAUCCAACGUGCAGUAACACAUAAAACUACGUUCAUUUCUUGAUGUUCAAAUAUCAGAAGUGAGUGAAAUUUUUGAAUUCAAAUUUUGUAAAAUUGAAAUCAAAUUUUGUCUGUAUUCAAGAAAUGCUUUUAUUGAGUCUUUGCGACUAGUAUUUCGAGAAGCUUUUUUAUAUGCGGGAUUCAAAGCUGUUUUCACAUAGUGUUCAAAAUAUGGACAUUCGGCAAAUGUACAUGGUUGUUUAGCUCCUACAAUAUAUAAUACAAGUUUUCUUCUAUUACGUUUAUGAGAAUAUUGAAAUGUACUAACUCCACUAGAAGUAAAAGUAAGUUGUGAUUGUUUUGUCUCUUUACCUUCUUUUACCUGGUGUUUCUGAAUAUGUCUGUUAAGAUGACCUGUUCCAUCGGAACUAUCACAAGAAUAAUGAACUCCACAUAUAGUACAAACAGCUCACAAGCCUUGUCCUUCAAUUUCUUUGAUAUUGAAGGACUUCCAUACUUGUUCUUUGUUUAGAUGCUUUUUUAGAACUUGCAUCUAAAUUUGGUUUAGGUUGCAAGCUGUCGUCACCUUGUGUAGAACCACCAGCUAAUGUUUCUGAUUGAAUACUAACAUAAUAUUCAGGAGUAUAAUCAGUGCAAGAAAAAUUUAUAUGAGAAAAUUCACCCGACAUUGUUAUAAAAAAAUAAAUACAAUAAUACUAAAAGUAAUUAAAUAAAAAUAUUUAAAAAAUUAAAAAAUAAAAAAUAAGAGAUUAAUUAUUGUGUUGAAAUUGAAAUUUUGUGUGGUGAGAUUGUGGAGAGACUUCGUAAAAAAAAAUUGUUGGAAAAAGUUAAAAAUAUUUGCAAAGUAAACUUGAGAGUUGAGAGAAAAAAAGUUAGAUUGAAAGUAUAAGAGUAGGAAGAAUUAGUCUUUGUAGAAGAAAAUGAAUGAAGAGUUGUUUGUUGUGAUGAAUUUGGAUGUUUGUAGUAGUAUUUAUACAUGUAAAAAAAAAUAAUAUUUUUUUUAAAAAAUAUAAAAAUAUUUUUUAUUUUUUGACCAAACUGCCCUAUGUAAGUCAAAUUUUUGAAUGUUAGUGAGGGCAUUGUGGUCAUUUUGAUCAAAAAAUAUCUUUUUUUUAUUUUUUAACCUUUUUUUAAAAAAUAAUAGUAAAAAAGUUUUUUUUUCGGAAAAAAAGAAAAAAAAAUGACCCAGCGGCUAUUGAGCCGUUGGGCCCUCUGUCCGAGGACUUGGUCACAAAAGCCCUAAAGCCUAAAGGGUAGCUGGGCAUGCUAGGCCUGGCUAAGUAAGGCAAUAUAGGCCUGUCAAAGCCAGGCCUAUAAUUUGUAAAGCCCUACAUGUAGGCUACAACCUACAGGCCUUACAAGUAAAUGGGUUGUGCCAUGCCGGGCUGCAGGCCGACCUUCCGACCCGGCACGGCCUAGGCUCAACACGGACCUUGUCGUGCCGGGCCUACGGGCCCAGCACGGUCCAUGGAGCUAGGUCAGGCCGGCCCGGCCCGGCACAAGUGCUACAGUAACCGUGCCGGGCCAUGCCCCGGCCGGCAGUCGGCCGCCCGGCCCGGCACCUAUGCAUGCACCGAUUAGUGUUCAUAUGCAACAUCCAAUUUUCACUUUUCACUAACCUCUAUUACCAUAUCAACCCGCAAAAUAUGCAACCUACACACAUACACAUAUACAUAUGCACAUAUAUGCAAAAUAGACGUAGAAGAAAGUUCGCCGUUUUCGGCGACAUGGAACCCACCUAAAUCGCAAAUCCAAGGGAAUGAACAAUUAUCAAAGCGGCGUGGUGCUCACUGUCGUUCUCCCUAUCUGUGCAGCUACCACAACACUCCGAAAGGCUCGAAAAAAUCCCUCGGCGAAACACUCGCAAAAUUGGCUCCCAAACCACAUAGAAAUCGAUUUCUAAGCUUCAAUGUCAACGAAAAUCAUCAAAACCACCUCUUCUUAGAUCCACUGUCAAGAAUCUGCCAAAAAUUCAAUUCGAAGUUAUAAUAAUAAAAUACUAACCUUACAGUCAAUGCGCCGGAAAAAUCCAACGCGUGCACGGGCUUGAUCAUCUCGUCGGAAAGCUCGAGAUCAUCUAAACCCUUCUCUUAUUCAUCUCUUUUUUCCUUUCGCUUCUUUUCCCUUUCUCUCUCUACAUAGUAGAGGGAAGAGAAAUAAUGGAGAAGGAAUACCCUCAGGUAGGGGUGUAAACCGUGUAAUGUUGGCCAUGCCCGGCCAGCACAGCCCGCAUUAGUCAGGUCGAAACGGGCUAGGAGCUGGCCUUGCUUCAUAUCUAGGCCGGGCUAGAGCAAACAAGCCUCUAGCCCCACACGGCCCGGAAGGCCGNGUCGGGCCCCUAAAAUUUUAUUUUUUAAUUUUUUUAAAAAAUGUUAAAUUUAAAAAAUAAGAACAUAUAUUAUUUUUAGUUAAAUUGAUAUUUUGAUUAAAAAAUUUAAAAUUUUUUAAAAAAUAUAUAAAAUAACAAAUUUUUAAAUUCUUUUAAAAAAUAAACAUUUUUAUUAUUAUUUUUGAAAAAAAAAAGUUUUUGGUCCACUUCACUGCAAACCUUGGGAGAAGAGCUCCUAGAGAGAAAGGCUUGGCCCAAGGCAAGUUGCCUUGGGCCAUGGGGUCCAGGCCGUGCUGGCCUGGUUGGCAUGGCCCAAGAGGACCGGGCAACGGGCUCUUCUCGGCCCAACACGGCCCAGGCCCGUUUCGUGCUUGAAAUGGGCCUAGGCUGUGCCGGGCCAUCGGGCCUAAAAAUUGAGGCCCAGCACAACCAAGAAGUUUGAGCUGGGCCGGGCCGCCCAUGGGCAGCUCGGGCCGUUUUACAUCCCUACCUUCAGGCUUAGUGGAAAUCCAUUAUGUAACGUCACAAAUUGCUUAAAGUCCACUACAAUCCAAUAUUCUAACUUUAGUCCAAUUCUGAUAUAAUAUAUUUAAUUGGAGCCUUUCUGAAUGCCCAUUUGCUCUCAAAUUUGAUAUACAGACUUAGUUAAAGUUUAUCAAAAUUAAUUUAUUUUAAUGUUUUUUUUAAAUCAUUUUAGGUCAUCGAAAGCUCUAUCAAGUAAAAUUUUUAAUAGAUUGUUGUUAGGCUCCGUUUUCACUACUCAAGCAUCAGGAUGACACGAAACUUUAAAUUUGGCCUCAAAAAAAUAGUACAAUCAACUUUUUAAAGUUUCAUAAUUUUUCGCCACUGUAAAUUUUUCUGCUUAAAUAUUAAGCCUUGUUCCUUAUAAAAAUUCAAAAUCUCCUGUUUUCACUCCAAUUUCACCACAAUUUAUUUCUAAAUUAUCUUUUACUGCUAUAAGUCCAAUAAAAGUAGUAUUUCACACUAUUUUUGUCUACACUUGCUUAUAUAUUAAAAAUCCAAUGUACUACACUAUUAUAGAAAAACCAAACAUCCCCUAACACCUUAGUCUGGCAAAGGUUUAUGCUUAAAAUGACUUGAGGGACUUAGUUCCCUUUCAAGGGCUCCUGGAGCUCCCAAAGAGUGGAAAAUGGGGACACAUUGAAAUUAGCUCUAUGGAAGGAUUUAGAUCAACUUUGUUUAAGUCAGAACCAGUAGGUUGAAAGUCAAAACCAAUAGGUUGAAGCAAGAGCUAUCUAUGUGGACGCCACACCUGAUUUUGUCAUUUAGAACAUUUCCAUGAACAUGUAAACCUGUGGGCCCCAACCAAAGAAUAACAAAGAAAUAAAAUAAGUUAUGCUUGAACUUCUAGCCUUACCUUAAAAAGAAACAGCUAAUUUGUUACAUAUUCAUCUUUUUGGGAAAAAGUCAGCUUCCCACAUUCUAUAUGGUACCAAUUGCACUAAUUUCAGCUUUUCCAAUGUCUAAACUUUUUCCAACAAAUAAUAUAUCAGUUUCGCUGACUACCAAUUAUCUUCAAUUAUCAAUUAGUUGUACACUUUUUGCUGAUUUAGGGUAAUAUUACAUCACUGAUGUCCAAUUACAGAACCUCCUAAAUAUGUUUCUGUAUGCUGCUUUUGCUAGUGUCUUUAGAUCACAGUCGGUGCGAAAAUGCUAUUUUUUCUGAUAUUGCAAGUUGAAAGUUAGUUGGCAUUUUCUUUCCCGUGGUUUCAAAUAAUAAAAUUUAACAUCUGUUAUGCUUUCCCUAAAUUAAUCUCAUCUUCUCUUCACUAUGCAGUUGAUGGUGCAAAAACCUCAGAGUUCAAAUAUUUCAAGAAACUGUUGGAAGGAGCCAAUUAUAAAGUUUCAUCACAUGAUAGUUUUUCAAAGGCAACUAAAGAACGCGAUGGUAAAAAUCUACCGAUUUGCAAAUUGAUAUUAGAAUUGUUUGCUUUUCUAAUCUGAAGCCUUAUGUUACCGUGGUUGCCAGCUUUGUGCAUUACAAGUCAAUGCAGCCUUGUCAUUUAAUAUUUGUAUUACAACUGAUUUAUAUAUCAGCCAUGUUUCCCUCUUUUUCUUUUCUUAUCCUUUUUUCCUUUUGUGUGUGCGUUUUUGUGUGUGUGUGUGUGCGCGCGUGUGCAGAGUCACAUAAUGCAAUGAUAGACGAAUCUGGCAUAAGAAGUUUCUCAUUGCCUACUCAAAAUUGCCCACCUAUUACAGAUGGGGUCUCUGGUUCAUGCGAAGGAUCCGGUACAUUUAGAGGUUCUUUAUGGUAGAUUUCCUUUGAACUUGUAGAACUUAAAUUCUUCACUCAUACUUGUCAAUCUUUCACAGCAUUGACCCACACAGCACUGUGCAAGUCUGAUUCAAGCAGGUGCUUAUCGCCCAUUCUCAAAGUCACUCCACAAGCUCAGCAGUCCUCAUUUCUGCUUUUAGAAAGUGCAAGGAGCUAUGGUGAGCAUUUAUCUAAGUGGCUUGUACUCAAAUGUAUCUAAUAACACCAAAGAAGGUUGUCAUCGACGUUGAUGACAAUGUUUCCCAUGCCAUGGCAUAGGGGCAUACUGGUGAUGUGACUGCUUAAUACAUUCUGUGCUGAUUUUAAAUUUUAUAUCAAGGCGAUUGCUUUUUAAUAAAAAGGUUGUCUAACGAAUUUAGGCUAUAUCAUAAGAUCGCUCAACAUAAGAAACAUGAGCACCGGAGGAGGCGUGGGGCACAUAAACUGUGUCAAUACUUCAGCACCAAAAAAAAAAGUGUCAUUUUCAUUUUCCUGUAAAUGAUAUAGUUUGCAUUUCAAAAUAGUGUAACAAGUCAAAAAAAGAUAAUUUUAUUUUGAAAGUAAUCAAACUUUCAAUAUUGUUCCACGUAGAAAAGCAUAGGACAUUGUAUAUGUUCAUUGGUUUUUCUGAAGUACCAAAGAUCUUUUCUCUGCACAUUUGAUGUGUCAUGGGAUCUCUGCAUGCUUCCUCCUCGCCUAGAUGUCCUCACAAGUAGAAGGGUCCAAAAGCAGCAUCUUGAUGCACUUGAUUCAUCCAACACGUAUUUGACACUUGAAAGGGGCUACUGAUGCAUGUCCGGACUCAGGCACCUCUUUUUUUAUUUGUCACAACCCUGGAGCUUACUUUAAAGGACUACCCAGAACUUAUUAAUGGGCUCCUUGUUCGUAUGUGUUUUAUCAAUGUACAAUUUUAUAAACAACUUUGCAAGUAUCUCGUCUUGAAGUAUUAUUCAUUUUCUUUGUUCAAGUGUUCAUUAGCUGUAAAUUUUUCAGAUAAUUUAGCAUUUAUGAAUAUUCAUAAGUCGUCAUGUGUUCUUCUUUAGUUCUUUUUCCCCUGCCACUUACCAAUGUGAGAAGGUGGAUUUCGCUGCAUUUUGUAACUACUCUGUCUUUGCCUCUCAGGAAGAGUGUAUGAGCAUGGAGGGGUGUUCUCAGAAAAGAGGAACAAAUUAAUGAAGUUAGCAGCCAAGACAUUGUCUCUUGAAAAGGAUGAGUUCUUACUGAGGUCUGGUUAUAUCCUUGAGAAUCUCCAUUAGUUUAGAAGUUCCUCGUGUUCUUAUCUAAUGCUUUACUAUCUCAGAUCAGAUAUAACUUCCGAUUUCAUGGAGAGGCUGCACAUUAAGAAAAAGUCAGACAGUGUAUGCUUCUUCAACUUUUCCAUAAAAUUUGGACUUAUUUCAUGCCUUUCGGCACUAUUCUGGUUAUCGAUUUCAACUAUCAACAGUUCAUAUGAAAUUGUGACUAGAUUUCUUGAGAAAAUAAUCUGAUGCCGUAUUGCAGCAUAAAAAGCUUUCAAUUUCUUGGCAGAAGAAAGCAUGCAGCCGACAGCAUUCACUAGCAGUUUCUUCAAAGAGUGAUCCCUUAAUGAGACUGCAUUACUUUGAAUCCACUGAUAUUGAGUCAAUGACUUCAAGGAAAAGCUCAAGAAAGGAUUUGCCUUCUAAAGAAGCCGGUGAACUCAUUGCAUUACCAUGGGAACACGAUAAGAUCUGGGCUUCUAACUCACGUGCGGUUGAACCAAGCUGCCUUCAGCAUCACAGGCGAUCCAACUGGGUAGUAGAUGAUCCCGAAACCUCAGAACUCCAUACCAAAAAUAAAACAGAAUUGUCUCAUUUACUCGUACCAUAUUCCAAUUCAACAUCGUUGGAGUUACGUGAUCUUCGUACGCCAGUAGAGAAAUUUAAUUCUCGAUUAGUUGAAUGGGACGAUAACUUGAGAGAAAAUAAUACACUGCUUAACAAUAAUUUGCCCUUGACAAUUUAUAAUGGUUCGAGAUUUCCUAAUCUUACGAGCAAGUGUGGAAAUCUUAAUGAUUACAACAGUGGAAAUGUUUUUGACUCUCCUAUCAACAGCUGUGGUGUAAUACUCCGAGAUAGAGACCAGCAGAAAAAGUAUGAGUUAUUUUCAUCUUCGGCAUAUGGUUAUGAGCUACAAAAGAAUGACAUGCCUUUUCUUGCUAUGGAAUUUUACUCACCGAUCCCUAUGAAUAUCCAAUUUUAUGAUCCAAAAUUGAGAAACAGAACUGGCAGCAUGUUUACUGCAGAUGGACAUGAUGGUUGUGCAGAUGAGAGAAGCCUAGUGUUGGUCCCAGAAAAUUCAUCUUAUGGUGUUUCUAGUUUCAACAAUUACUGGUUCUUGGAUCCAAAGUUUUCUCUGGAAGGAUUAGAAAGGAUAUCCACACUUUCUGAUUGACCAAGUUGGUAAUGGUAUCAAAGAGAGCACACUUUCUGAUUGACCAAGGUGGUAAUGGUAUCAAAGAGAGCAUGAGCUAAUCCCUUGUUCAAGUGAUAACUGAUCAUUUCUCUCAUUUCGCCAAAUCGAGGAAUUAAUCAGAUAAAUCAGGGUAUUUUUAUUAGAAAAUCUUUUAUUUUCUCGUGAUACGUCAAGCAAGUUAUCUGCCGGAUUUUAGAAGCAUAAGCUGACAACCUCAUUAUCAAGAGGUGUUCUGGGCAUAAGCUGAUGCUGCUGCAUUUUGAUCUCUGUUAGCUUAUUAUCUUGUACUAUCACUGAAGUUUGCAACCCGUUUAAUUUGACUUGCAAUAGUGCUAAUAUGGUUAAUAAACCCCUCACAUGUACAAAAAACAUUGGUGACUUCCUGCCACCACGAAGCAAUGUGAUUAGAUACACAUUUACAUCCUUCACUUGUAGUUAGUUAGGGCAAAAAGCGAUUUGUUGGCGGUUCAUAAAUUUAUAUUUCGCAGUUAGUGUUUUUUGUCGGAUAGAAGAAAGAGUCGUGAUUGUAAGAAAAUCAUGAUGAUACCAUGAGACACAAACUGGCCCUGUUAUGUUAAUUUGCAUCAUACUUGGCUGUCACUUCAGUUUUUAAUUUGAUCCAAGCUCUGGAUCGCAGUUGAGUGGACUUCUGAAAAACAAUUUGUACCCAUUUUUUUUCAGUUUUAGGGCCCGUUUCGCUUGGAUUCUAAAGAAGUGAUUUCUACUUGGUUUGCAAAAGUGAUUUAUGUUAAUAGUAGUAGAGCGUUCGGCUGAGUCUGAUAGAAAAGUAAUUUUGUUAAAAUGAUUUUAAAAAGUUGUUUAGCAAAAUUAUUUGUUGAAGUGAUUUUGUAAUGCUGUUUAAUAUUAGUUUAUUAAUUUAUUUUGUAAUGAAGUUAAUAAACCUAGAAAAUUUAAUGUUACAUACAAUAUAUUAUAAUAAAUAAGUCCGGCUGGAAUACUAUCGAUAGCACCAAGGGCUUGAUGCUAUCGAGUUUUUUACCAUUAGAUUUAACCCUUUGAUUAUUUUUAUCCGUUAGAUUAUACUAUUCAACCAACCACCCACUCAACCCUAGGGAGCCCACAGCAUCUUAACCGCAUAUUUUUCAAUCCAAGGGCUAAAAAACUAAUAGCACUAAUAGCUUGGUGCUAUUAAUAGUAUUCCAGUCUAGUUCUAUAAUAAACAUCAAAAUUUAUUUUGAUGUUUAUUAUAAUAAACAUCAAAGAAAGUUACAUACAAUAUAUUAUAAUAAUUUAUUAAUGUUAAUAAUUAAAAUUUUUAAAAAGUAUACUUUUUUAUAUAUAUAAUAUAUUUUUAAUACAAAUUUGAUUUUAAGUUCUAUUAACAUAUAAAUAAAAAUUUUAAUCGAUCCAAAUCAGUCGUAUUUUAAUUUUUUAUAAUUUUUUAUAAUCACAUUUCCAUUUAUCGCACUAGUAGCACCCAAUCCGGCCUGACUCGGUCUUUUCGAAUCCCACUGGUGACGAUCCGGCCGGAUCCAGCAAGGACAGAUUCCGCCGGCGCGAAUCCAGCUGGAUCCGCCGAGCUAUCGGGGAAGAGAGAGAGAGAGAUCUGUUUUUUUAAAAAAAAGGAUGGAGGGAGAGAGAUGGAGAAGUUAGUGAGGAGAGGAAGGUGAAACAAAAUUUAUUGGAGUUGGGAAGAGAGUUAACUGUGAGAAGAGUUUGUGGGAAUAGUAAAUAUAAAUAGUAAAGAAAAGAGGGUACUGGAAAAUAUUAAUUAAUUGAAUAUGAAAGGAUAGAGUAAAUUUAUGUUAUUUAUUUAGGGGUAGUUAGGUAUUUUUAUAAAGGGUUAAAAAUUUUAAAUGGAGAAAGUAAUUUUGCAAGAAUCAAUUUUGGAGAAGCAGCAUUUUUUUGUUGCUGAUUCUGAAGCUUGAAAAUUCAGUUUUCUUAUUCUGAGAAGAAAAAUCAAAAUUUUCGACUUUUACUGUCAAACGCUCUACUGAGCCCAAAAUCACUUUUGCGCUCAAAAUCAAACAAUACUUAGGUGUAGUUAGGUAUAUUUAUAAAAAUUUUAAAUGGAGAAAGUAAUUUUGCGAGAAUCAAUUUUGGAGAAGCAGCAUUUUUUGCUUCUAAUUCUGAAUCUUGAAAAUUCAGUUUGCUUAUUCUGAAAAGAAAAAUCAAAAUUUUCGACUUUUACUGCCAAACGCUUGUACUGAGCCCAAAAUCACAUUUGCGCUCAGAAUCAAACAAUAUUUAGGGGUAGUUGGGUAUUUUUAUAAAAAUUUUAAAUGGAGGAAGUAAUUUUGCGAGAAUCAAUUUUGGAGGAGAAGCAUUUUUUGCUUUUGAUUUUGAAGCUUGAAAAUUCAGUUUUCUUAUUCUAAAAAGAAAAAUCAAAAUUUUCGACUUUUACUGCCAAACGCUCUACUGAGCCCAAAAUCACUUUUGAGCUCAAAAUCAAACACCCCUUCAUCAUCUCGCAACUUCGAAAGGAUGUUUGUACCGUCAACGUUGCCUUCUGUGAUGCUAAUUGACUGAAAAGUGGAGUUAACUCUUUUUGAAAGAUACCGACCAUCCCUAGCGCAAAUGGCAAAAAGUUUGGUGGUUGGUACCCAAGGUCCCAAGUUCGAAUCCUAAUUAAUUAACAUUUUCAGCUAAGUUUAUUUCUAAAUGAAAUAAACAGAGCGGGUAGCAUGCUACCUAUCUAUCUCAAAAAAAAAAAAAAAAAAAAAAAAAAAAAAAACGUUUUUUGAAAGAUAAAUUUGUUACAAUAAGCUUAAGAGCAUUUACGCAAAAUAUAAAUUGAAUGAAUCACAUGUAAAAUCUACAUGGAUUUACAAUAAAGCCAUCGUGCCUGUUAGAAUAAUAAUCCCAAACUUAAUUAAAAUAUAAUUAGAGAUAAGUUUAAGUCUUUUAUUUGAUUAUGAUUAGGAUUUGUAAUUAUCCAAACUAAAAGUUAGAUUUAUCGAAUGGGUUAAUUAGAUGAAUAAGCCACAGUAGAAAUGGCUGUAUCGGUGUUGCUCAGGAUGUAGUUAAUUAUUUUUUAUUAAUAAAGUAUUAGUUUAGUUUUUUUCUUCCUCCUCUAAUAGCUCUUCUCAAUAUUAUUUUGUUCGAUUUUAGAUCUUGGGUUAUAUAAUCGGUUUCGACAAUUGGUAUUAGAGAAAAUCACGCUUCCACACAUUUACAGCAGUCUAUAUAUAGGCAUAAAUCAAAAUCCUAAUAGCAAUAAUUGAACAUGAUUUAAACUUAUCUCUUAUGUAUAACCAAUAAAAUAUUAACAUAUAAAGUUGACUGAAAUAAAUCUAAACUUACAAAAAUAUUGGGUUACUUAUUAACAUCCUCCCUUAAUCCAACUUUUCACAUUCCGAGUAGCUUUCAUAGUUUCACGAAAUUUUUCGACGUCAGCGGCUUCGUAAAUAUAUCGGUGACUUGAUUCUCUCUUCUGUAAAAGUGUAGCUCGAUCUCGUUCUUCUUCACAAGUUCUCGAACAUAAUGAUAAUGACUUCAAUAUGUUUACACAUUCCAUGAAAAACUAGAUUUUUCACGAUUGCUAUAGCCGAGCUAUUAUCACAAAAUAUUUGCACACCACAACAAAAAUGAUUUUUAGUGGCGACUUUUUGGUCGUGACAGGCACUGUGGUCACCAAUGUAUUUAAUAUGGUGGCGACAUUUAUUUGUCCUCGCCAAUGCAUAGAAAAUGGCGGCGACAUAUAACAGUCGCCGCCGAUACGGAGAUGCAUUGGCGGCGACAUAUAAGAGUCGCUACUGAUACUAAAAAUGUAGCCAUCGAUACAGAGAUGCGGCGACAUGUUUAUCGCCGCCAAAAGAUUUUCGUGGCGACAAUUUUGGCUAUGGUGGCGACAUUUGUCGCCACUAAAUCUUGUACUUGUAGUAGUGGCAGGAAGAAAUUGGAAUUUAAGAAGUAGAAAUUCGACCCAACAGCGAAGAUACAGAAGCCCCAAUUUGCAAAGAAAUUUGGAAAGUAUCAUACGAUUUCUUAACAAAACGAAAGGGUAGUUGGCGAUACAGAUGGUUCAAAUUCAUAUAGAAGAACAAGAGGGAGAGGUAAUUACCACAAUCUGCAAAGGUAUGACAAAUCUCGGAUUCAAUGUUAUUAUUACAAUAAAUAUGGGCACUAUCAAUCUGAAUGUAAAAGAAAACAAGCCGAUGAGCAAAAUAAUAUUAAUACAAAUUUUGUUGAAAAUAAGGAUGAAAAUAAUACACCUAUGCUUCUCGUUUGCAAUAUUGUUGAAACACCAAAAAAUAAUAUUUGGUAUUUAGAUUCAGGCCGUAGCAACCACAUAUGCGGUAAAAGAGAGAUAUUUAUAAAUUUAGAUAAUAAAGUAAAAACAAUGGCAAAACUGGGAGAUGAAAGAAAAAUUAUUGUUCAAGAAAAAGGUGACAUUUUAAUUCGAGCACAUAAUGGUGAUCAUAUUAUAAUAUCUGAUGUUUAUUAUGUGCCUGAAUUAGAAUGGAAUCUAUUAAGUAUUGACCAAUUUCAAGAAAAGGGUCAUAUUGUGCAUAUUAAAAAAGGAAUAUGCGAAUUGAAGGAUAAAGAUAAUAGAUUAAUUGCUAGAGUGCCAAUGACUAAAAAUCUCAUAUUUCCAUUGAGAAUUGAUAAUAAUACUUUACCAUAUUUCAAUACAAUUGUGCAUGAUGAAUCUUGGUUAUGGCAUUUACGGUUUGGUCAUUUAAAUUUUCCAUCUUUGAAAAAAUUGUCUAGUAAAAAUGUAAUACCCCACACUUUUAACUUUUUGUUUUGACUCCAAUUUACUUUAAGUUUGGACCUUUUCGUAAUUUCGGAUCUUCGAGGGACUCGGUGGCAUUUUGUUGCUUAAUUAGUCCCUAACUAAUUAGGCCCUUUCUUUUGAUACGAACCCCCCACCCGAUCCAUCUCUCUCUUUCGCUCGAUCUCCCUCUCCUCUCUACGCCCGUACGACCUCCGCCGCUCCCCUUGUGCACGCGCGACGCCAUCCGUUCCCUAUCGUCGUCGCCGUCAUCCGUAGCCGCCUCCACCGCAUUUCCCAUUGGCCAUUAUUUUCUUUUGGUUCGUUAUCAACGGAAUCUUGCCGCCGUCUUCACCGUUUUCGAGAAGGUUUUUCUCCUUCCCUCAUUUUACCUUUGUGUCGGAUCUUAUAAUCACCCAACCUCUCUAUUCGUCAUUAUAUUUUAUUAUUUUGAAUACUCGUUUCUUGAUUAUUGAAAAUUGAAAUCACUAAAAUCUGAUUUCGUAAUACCUAAUCCUCGUCGUUUGAGCAGCUUAAUUUUAUAUAUUGUAUCCUCUGUAUGAUCUUGUUGCUUAAUACUUCACAUACUACUCACCUAUUGGAAUGUCCGUUAUAUGCUCGAUAAAAUGCCUAAGAGAAGGCGUGCGUCGUUUUAUCUCUAAUUUUGAUCCCAUUCGAUUAUUAUUGUAAAAAUUGUUUUAUAUAUGUAUUAACCCCUCUGUUUGAAUAUAAAAAUCUUUGUUUAUUAUUUAAAUUCCCGUUCAUGUUAUAUUCUUGGAAUAAUUUAAAUUCUUCAAAAACUCCUUCAUCCUUUUGAUCGCUAUUGGAGGUUCGUCGAAUUUAUUGUUCUAAAUCCCUUUGUGCUCCAUCCCGACCUAAUUGCAUACCAUUAUUUUCUCUUUGCAUGUUCAUUUCGGUUAGCUUAUAGAGAAUCGCGUGUCUCUAUUUUUAGGUCCCGACGAUUGAUUUUCUGCACAUUUUCGACUGGAUAAUUUCUAUCUUUGAAGCUACGUUAAGGUAAGCGACCGAACACCCGUUAGUUUUUGUAAGAUAAUUUAGGAAAAUAUUUUGAUUGUACGAAAAUCUUAUUUUGUAGAAUUUAAAAUUAAGGGUUAAGCAUAUUAUUAAAUAUCUCUGUAUAUUGAGUUUCAAUCGUGAUUGACAAGUUCGUUUAGCAAAAAGAAUUUUUGAAAUCUGAUAAUUUAUUCUGCAAAUUAGUGACUGGAUAUAUUUUGAUUUAUGAUGUCUCUUGGUAUUCUGCUAUGCAAUGUUGGCCAUGUCGACAUGUACUUUGUUAUAGAAGCAAGCUUCGUCUUUGUUUGCACCUUCGGGUGCCUGCGCCUAUCCGCGCCUCUGUUUUGUUCGCGCCUUCGGGUGCCUCUGUUUUGUUUACGCCUUCGGGUGUCUUUGGAUCUUGCCAACGGAUCAUAAGAUAUAGUUAAGUGCCGGAGACAAUAUUUAUUUUGUUUAUAUGUCGAAAGGGAAAUGCUUUGAAAAAUUAUAGUUUCAAUCCGAUCCGAAUUUGAAGUUUUGAUAAAUUCUUAUUUUCUUAAAUCUUGCAAAUUAAAACCAGUCGCUUGAAUUAAUUUGUGUAUCUAGUUAUUUGUAUGCUUAAUCCGACUAAUGUGGUGUAUGGUUGCUUACCCAGGUACUGAGACCGAUUCGCAGGGCGGGGCUGGGAGCGAGUGAACGUUAGAUGUAGCUAGAUUUUAUUCUAGCCUCUUCGUCUUAUUUCUAUUGCAUUUAGAUAUGAACUUUGAACUUCGUAGAUAAUCAUUCGUUUAUCUGUUCCUACUUUAUUGUUUCUUCGUACCUACAAUAUCUGUUAGAACAAUUUCGGUUUGUGUUGCAUCAUAAACUUUAGUUUUGCUUAUAGGAUACUUCAGUUGAUUUUAGUUGCAAUUAAAUUGUUAGCCUCAUCUUUCGACUAUUUGGAUUUAAUAGAAAUUUUUCUUUAUGAUCAUCUUUUGUUUGUUAAUUGUCUGACUUUGUAGCCUUGCAUAUUUACUAAUUUAGUAGAUAUGCGGCAUCUGUUAUGCCUCGGGUUUGGGGCGUGACAGAGAAAUGGUAUCGGAGCUUAGGUUUAAGAUCUUUUGUAACUUUAAGGUAUAGGAUUGUGAGAGUUUAUUAGGACGUGUGAGGAUGGGUAAAAAGUAGGCGCGUGUUUGAUCCUAUUUGAUUAUUGUUUACAGUUUUCGUUAAUGUUUUGCAUUUACGUGUUUGUGAUAUCCUCUCUUGUUAAGAUGGUGCGUCCGACCCGUCGUAACAACACCAAUAAUGAGCAAUCGAGGAACCCGCCUCCAGCCAGAUCCAGAGAUGCAGAUCUAGACAUCACCUUAGCCUCACUUUUGAAUACCACGUCCUCGACAGCCCUUCCACCUAUCCAGAAUCCGCUUCAGUCAACUAUAGCGCCUCCAACGAACCCUUCGGCUUUUGUUCCACUGCUGCAGCAAACCUUCAGUACGGGGAUACCUUCGACGGCCGCUCCCACUACCUUUUCGUUUCCGCCGUCGACUGCACCUUCUGGUUUUGUUCCAUUGCCGCCACAACCUACUAUUCCCACCCACUCCGCCAGUUUACCGCAGAGCGCCACGAUGGACCCCUUGGUUGCCACCCUGAUACAAGCUGUUGUCGGACUAGUUCAGACUCAGCAGCAAAAUUUACAGCAGAAUCCAGCUCCUAGUGCCGCGGAGUCAAGUUCCAGAGUUCGAGAGAGGAGCAUCAACGAAUUUAAGAAGUCUGCUCCUCCACCUUUUUCGGGCGCUACAAACCCGGACGAAGCGGAAAAUUGGAUCAAGGAGAUGGAAAAAGCAUUUACGGCAAUGCAGUGCACCGAUGAAGAGAAAGUCAGAUUCGGGACAUUCAUGCUUCAGGGCAGAGCGAAUAAUUGGUGGGAAAGCGAGUUGAGGACCCGCGGUAGCAAUUUAUCAGCCAUUUCGUGGAAGGAUUUUCGAUCGGCGUUUUAUGCUAAGUACUUUCCAAGGAGUAAACUUCGUCAGCUCGAGAGGCAAUUUCUAGAUCUAAAACAAGGGUCCAUGUCUGUAGAGGAGUACGAGGCCGAGUUUGAUCGACUCUCUCAGUUUGCUCCGAAAUUGGUGGAUGAUAAUGAAUCGCGGGCCAAAAGGUUUGAAGAAGGACUGAAUGGAUAUAUUCGUACUGGCCUCGCACCUCUACACCUUGAGACAUACGACGAAGUUGUUUCGAGGGCAAAAUCCUUAGAUUCAGUAUGGAGACAGACUUGAGAGGAGCGCAAUGCAAAUCAGAAGAAGAGAAAUAGAGAUUCUUUCAGAAAGGGAGAUCGGAAUGCAAGAGGGUCGGACAGAUCUAGUGAUUCUGGGAGAUCGCGUAAUAUGCUAGCUCCUCAUGGUGGACCACCAAAUCGGGAUCAGAAGCCGAAAUGCUCAGUUUGUGGAGGGUCACAUAAGGAUUCCGACUGCAGACAUGUGACUGGUGGUUGCUUCAGAUGCGGCGACUUGAAUCAUCGAAUAGCUCAGUGCCCUUUACUUAGCACUAACUCUAGCACUGGAUCCAAGCCUCAGGAGAAAUUUGCUGCUCCAGCCGAUCAUGAUCGUGCCCCUCCUACUGGUCAGCCUAGAGGUGGAAGGCCUCGGACGCAGGGACGUGUCCAGGCUCUCUCUUGGCAGGAUGCUCAGGCAUCUAAUGCCGUGGUCUCAGGUAUUCUGCCCGUAAAUUCUGCUUUUGCCUAUAUUCUCUUUGAUUCUGGAGCUACACAUUCUUUUGUAUCUUCUGCUUUUGUUCGAAAGUCUAUGUUACCCUCUGAACCUUUGGAUUAUACUUUAUGUGUUGGUACACCUUUGGGGGAGGAGUUUGUGAUUGACCGAGUUUGUAGGAGCAUGGUCAGAUUGGAUAAUAGGAGCUUAUUGGCAAAUCUCCAUGUUAUGGACAUGCGAGACUUUGAUGUGAUUUUGGGGAUGGACUGGCUUUCGUCCCACUUUGCUACUUUGAAUUGUCGGGAGAAGCGGGUGGAAUUCAACAUUCCUGGGGAGGCAAAUUUUGCUUUUCUUGGGAAUGGAGCUUACACCCCACCUCCGAUCAUUUCUUCCUUGCAGGCUACUCGUCUCUUAAGGAGUGGCUGCGCUGGAUUUGUGGCUCUGGUGAAAGAUCUGAAUUUAAUUACUCCGAGAUUAGAAGACAUCCCGGUAGUAAAUGAAUUUCCGGAUGUUUUUCCAGAGGACCUCCCUGGGCUACCGCCAGAUAGGGAGAUUGAAUUUCGUGUUGAUUUAGCUCCAGGAACAAAUCCAAUUUCAAAGACACCUUACCGGAUGUCACCAGUUGAGCUCAAGGAACUGCAAAUGCAACUUCAGGAACUUCUGGACAAGGGAUUCAUCAGACCGAGUGUCUCUCCUUGGGGCGCUCCAGUACUUUUCGUCAAGAAGAAGGAUGGUACUAUGAGAUUAUGUAUCGAUUAUCGUGAGCUAAACAGAAUGACUGUGAAGAAUCGAUACCCCUUACCAAGAAUCGACGACUUAUUUGAUCAGCUUCGAGGUGCAGAAGUCUUUUCCAAGAUUGAUCUACGAUCAGGAUACCAUCAGCUGAAGGUCAGAGCCGAAGAUAUACCCAAAACUGCUUUUCGCACACGCUAUGGGCAUUACGAGUUCCUGGUAAUGCCUUUUGGAUUGACUAACGCUCCAGCCGCUUUCAUGGAUCUGAUGAAUAGAGUAUUCAAACCCUUCUUGGAUAAGUUUGUUGUCGUAUUCAUAGACGACAUUCUGGUGUACUCUAGCAGUUCAGCUGAGCAUAAGAAACAUCUCAGGAUAGUUUUGGAAACUCUUCGACAAAGGAAACUCUACGCUAAGUUUAAAAAGUGUGAAUUUUGGUUGCAAAGUGUUUCCUUCCUCGGACAUAUUGUGUCUAAGGAAGGUAUUUCAGUGGAUCCUUCAAAGAUAGAAGCUGUGAAAAAUUGGCCACGACCAAGCAACGUCACCGAGGUUCGAAGUUUUGUGGGCUUAGCAGGAUACUAUAGAAGAUUUGUGGAAGGUUUCUCCCGCCUAGCUGCACCAUUGACUCAGUUGACACGAAAAGGAGUUAAAUUUCAGUGGUCGGAUAAAUGUGAACAAAGCUUUUUGGAAUUGAAGAAACGCUUAAUAUCAGCACCUAUCCUUACCUUACCUAUUAGUGGUGAGGGAUUCACUAUUUACAGUGAUGCCUCGAAGAAAGGAUUGGGAUGCGUCCUGAUGCAGAAUGACAAAGUGAUUGCCUAUGCUUCCCGACAGCUGAGGCCAUUCGAGGAGAACUACCCGACCCACGACCUAGAAUUGGCAGCAGUAAUCUUUGCACUGAAAAUUUGGAGACAUUACCUCUACGGCGAGCCUUGUGAGAUUUUUACCGACCACAAAAGUUUAAAGUACAUCUUCACACAGAAAGAACUUAACAUGCGACAAAGAAGGUGGCUAGAACUAUUGAAGGACUACGAUGUGACCAUCAAGUAUCAUCCGGGCAAGGCCAACGUCGUAGCGGAUGCCCUCAGCAGAAAAUCAAUAGGGAAUAUAGCGACAUUGGUUACUUCUCAGCGACAUAUUUUAGAGGAUCUCAGACGGCUCGACAUAGAAAUUCACAUCCAUGGGUCUGAAGCUCAUCUAGCUAACCUGCAGGUUCAACCUACACUGAUUGAUAGGAUCAAGUCAGCCCAGGCGAAUGACAUUCAUCUUCAGAAGACACGACAUUUAGUGGAAUCAGGAGCACAAUCGGAGUUUAGAAUUCAUGAAGAUGGCUCUUUGAGAUUUAGGAACCGGUUAUGCGUUCCUAAGAAUCCGGAUUUUAAAAACGAAAUUUUGAAGGAGGCUCAUUAUUCGGGAUAUUCAGUGCAUCCUGGAGGAACCAAAAUGUACAGAGAUUUGAAGAACGUCUUCUGGUGGAGUAACAUGAAAAGGGAGAUCGCAGAGUUCGUGGCUAAGUGUUUGACUUGCCAGCGUGUGAAAAUCGAUAAGCAGAGAUCAGCCGGCUUACUUCAGCCCCUUCCUAUUCCUGAGUGGAAAUGGGAGAGAAUAACUAUGGAUUUUGUUACUCGACUACCUAGAAGUGAGAAGGGCAACGAUGCAAUUUGGGUCAUAGUUGAUAGAUUAACUAAGUCAGCGCACUUUCUGGCGGUAAAGACGGGCAUGACUUUGGAGAAACUAGCGGAGCUCUAUAUUGCACAAAUAGUACGUCUACAUGGUGUUCCAGUUUCGAUCGUGUCUGAUCGUGAUUCAAGGUUCGUGGCUCACUUCUGGAAAGGAUUACAUAAAGCUUUGGGAACCACACUGGACUUCAGUACCGCCUUCCAUCCGCAGACAGAUGGCCAAUCCGAGAGGACGAUUCAAAUUUUAGAAGACAUGUUACGCUCUUGUGUAAUCGAUAUGAAAGGCUCUUGGGAUCAUCACCUACCAUUGGUUGAGUUUGCCUACAAUAAUAGCUUCCAGGCCAGCAUUCAAAUGGCUCCCUUCGAAGCUUUGUAUGGAAAGAAGUGUAGAUCCCCUCUCUGUUGGGAUGAUGUUGGUGAGAGAAAGCUACUUGGUCCGAAAAUUGUGCAACAAACUAUUGAGAAGGUUCAUUUGAUUAAGGAGCAUCUCAGAGCAGCUCAGAAUCGACAGAAGAGCUACGCUGAUAAUCGAAGAAGACCGCUCGAGUUUGAAGUCGGAGACUAUGUCUUCUUGAAAGUGUCACCUUCAAGAGGUAUUAUGCGCUUUGGAAUUCGUGGGAAGCUUAGCCCUCGUUAUGUGGGCCCUUUUGAAAUACUUGAAAGAAUUGGUGACGUAGCGUACAGACUUGCCUUACCGCCUUCUUUAGCUGGAGUGCAUAACGUCUUUCAUGUAUCUAUGUUGAGAAAAUAUGUUCACGAUCCGAGCCACAUUGUAGAGCCGGAACCUUUGCAGCUUAGAGAAGAUCUAUCUUAUGACGAACAGCCGAUACGUAUCGUUGACCGAAAGGAGCAAGUUUUGAGAAGACGGACCAUUCCAUAUGUUAAAGUCCAGUGGAGCAAUCAUUCUGAACGAGAAGCUACUUGGGAACUUGAAGAGUAGAUGAGGACGAAGCACCCUCAACUUUUCGAGAGCUAAGGUGUGUUAAGUUUAGAGGACUAAACUUCUUUUAGGAGGGGUAGAUGUAAUACUCCACACUUUUAACCUUUUGUUUUGACUCCAAUUUACUUUAAGUUUGGACCUUUUCGUAAUUUCGGAUCUUCGAGGGACUCGGUGGCAUUUUGUUGCUUAAUUAGUCCCUAACUAAUUAGGCCCUUUCUUUUGAUACGAACCCCCUACCCGAUCCAUCUCUCUCUUUCGCUCGAUCUCCCUCUCCUCUCUACGCCCGUACGACCUCCGCCGCUUCCCUUGUGCACGCGCGACGCCAUCCGUUCCGUAUCGUCGUCGCCGCCAUCCGUAGCCGCCUCCACCGAAUUUCUCAUUGGCCAUUAUUUUCUUUUGGUUCGUUAUCGACGGAAUCUUGCCGUCGUCUUCACCGUUUUCGAGAAGGUUUUUCUCCUUUCCUCAUUUUACCUUUGUAUCAGAUCUUGUAAUCACCCAACCUCUCUAUUCGUUGUUAUAUUUUAUUAUUUUGAAUACUCGUUUCUUGAUUAUUGAAAAUUGAAAUCACUAAAAUCUGAUUUCGUAAUACCUAAUCCUCGUCGUUUGAGCAGCUUAAUUUUAUAUAUUGUAUCCUCUGUAUGAUCUUGUUGCUUAAUACUUCACAUACUACUCACCUAUUGGAAUGUCCGUUAUAUGCUCGAUAAAAUGCCUAAGAGAAGGCGUGCGUCGUUUUAUCUCUAAUUUUGAUCCCAUUCGAUUAUUAUUGUAAAAAUUGUUUUAUAUAUGUAUUAACCCUGCUGUUUGAAAGAUAAAAAUAUUUGUUUUAUUAUUUAAAUUCCCGUCAAUGUUAAUAAUCUUGGAUGAUUUAAAUUCUUCAAACUCCUUCAUCCUUUUGAAUCGCUUAUUGGAGGUGUUCGUCGAAUUUUAAGCUCGCACUAGGUAACUUUAGAGCCGAUAUGUUGUGUUUAUAGCUCGGUAGAGACGGUCAGGUGAACAACGUUGCGAGUAUUUGCUUGUGGACAAUCCGUUCCUGGACCCACUUGCUGAAUUGACAGCCUGGACCUUUGGCAGGCGUAGUAGCUGUGUGAAAGCGGCCUGACAACUCUGUGGGUUCAGGGCAGAGUUGUCAGGAUGGUAGCUGAGCAUAAUCGGUAAUUGUGGUAUGGCCCACAAUAGUGGACACGUGUGAUUAGUAGACGCUGAAGGGGCAAGGUUUUAACCUAAUCCUAGAGAGUUUGAGUUGCCUCCUGAGUAGGUAGGAGUAGAGUGUGAGAAUCUUUCAAAUGAGGACGUUAAUGCGAUGAUAUGGAUCUACUCUUGCAACAAGAGACGUUUACGUGUAAUCGAAUUGAAGCUAGGGAUAGACCUUAUGUCGAAUAGUGAUUGGUGAACGAUUUACAGUAUUGGGAACAGAUAGUUACCGUGUGCAUGGAAGUGAAAAGCAUGUGGACAUAUCCAGGUGGAUUGUGAGUAGAGAGCCGUAAAGAGCGGAGGCAUCGUCCUGUGUGUUGAGAUCACCCUGAUAUGAAACUAAGAUUGAAAAACUACGAACGAGAGUGUUUGAGAAAACUGAUUGGAAAAAUCAGUGUAGUGUGGAAUGGAGUAAAACUUUGAUGGUAUGCUUUCUAUUACUGUUGCUGAUUGCUAGAAACUUAAUCCUCCAAUCCGUUAAAGCACAUGAGGAGAGAAUUGUAUCUAAGUUUCGCGGACAGAAACUUUGGUUAACAAGGGGAGAUUUGUAAUAAUAUGGAAAACUUGAGUGUGAUGCAACUUUGACCCAGAGGAUCAAAGUAAAGGCUUGAGACUGGUUUUGCGAAUCUUCCCCCGAGUGAUUUUAGAUGUGUUGGGAAAAAAUUCCGGAGAGAAUAAGUGUCUGCUCGGCGCAAUGGGACAAAACAAAAUAUAAAAAAGGAGUUUUUCGGAUCACGGACGCCAACUUGGAUUAAAUAAAGCAAAGUGAGGCUUGAGGAUAAAUUAGUGGUAUCUCUGAAUCAAUUGUGAACUUGGGAAUAAGCAAUAGAUGGUAUAUUUAGAAGGUUUGACAUGUUGUAUGAAGUGGUAACACAAAAAGAAGCCGGAGUGAAGCGGCUGCCAAAGUAAAGAAUUGCAAAUUGGCGUUAUUUUGAGGCUUAAUUGAUCAGUUAAUGCAAAAAUGAAAAAUGAUUGUUUCAAAAAUUAAAGUUGGAAGCAUGAAGGGUAGUUAAGCUAAUCCGGCGAAUGGUCCCGAAGCGUGUCGACUCAAGUUUGGAAGCAAAAGAAGCUUCGAAAGCAUGUUGCUACCAGGAACAGCAAGUUGCAUUAGUUAGUCUUGAUCAUCCGGAAAUCAACAGAAAGCAAGAAAGUAAAAAUAGUUUGUUCUCAAGAUAAAUUGAGAGCUUAGGUGAUGUAAUUUGGUAUGUAUCGGAACGUUUAAUAAAGGAUUUGAAUUAGCGAAAUGUGCCGAACGAGCGUGAAUGGAACUGGCUGCCAGGGCUCUGCUAGAAUUUAAGUAAGUGCAGAUUUUGCAUUGUUACUCUCAGUGAGGUACAGAUGUGUAACCUCAGUGAGGUACCAAAUCAUAAAAUUGUGCCAGGACUGGAAAGAACGCUUUUGCUGAAAUUGAAGGGUUAAUGUGCAAAUGUGUCCAGCUUAUCACGUAACCGACCAUGCAUCCACCUGCGCACCUAAUGCAGUACGUCUUGGACUACUCUCCUCUCUAUCAUUUCUUAUUUCUUUUCCUCUUCUUUCUUCUCACUCCUCUUCUAACCAAACAAAGGAGUUUUUUUAGGGGAUUUGAAAGAGAACGCAGCGAGUUCGGCGCUUCUUGGCAUGUGAGGAAAAUUGUGAGCAAGGAAAAGUGGUGUACUCUCUCAACUCUCCUCUCUCUUUUGUUUAAUUCCUCUUCUCCUCUCUAUGAACCCUAAUGUGAGGAGUUUGGUGUAAAUAGGUGAAAUGAGCUCUUUUCGCUGGAAGUAGGUGCAGAAGCGAUUUGCUUUGGGAAACGUACCACCCUGGAGGAGGUCCAUCUAUUCUCUACUAGGAAUUGGGUAACUCCUAGUAUCGUUUGGUUUUGGAGUUCUUGGAGGAUAGAGGUUAGAGAUUGGGCUAUGUUAUAUUUGGUGGUAUAUGAACCUGGGGGCUGUGGAGAUAUGAUGGGUAAAUUGUAUUUUAGUUAAGAUGUGAAUGUAAAGUACUUAAGAAGGAUGUAAAUGUUUAGGUUCUUCUAAUACUAAGAACUGUUGUUAUAAAUCCUAAGAGAAGAACUACUUGUUAUGGAACCUUAGAGUAAGAAUGUAUCUACAAACCUCAUGUGUGGGCUUGGCAGUGGAAGGAAAUAUGUCUAGUAUUGCAAGAUUUCGCUUAGAGAUUAAUUUUAAAUCACGUUAAAUGCUCAAAUUAAAAAGUUUUGGACCGGUGGAAAGGUGAAGCUUACUAUAUGCUAUUAAUUAAUAGAUUAUGUAAAGCCCAUGUUGUUAUAAGAGAGUUUGGAAAAAACACUUAGAGAUCAUCGUUGCCAGCAUGCCAUGUGAGCGUUUGGAUUGUUGGAUUCUUGAAAUCUGAAAUUGGCUUUUGUUAUAUAACGCUGAUAAAGGCUUUCAGUGUACUAUACUAAUAAGUACAUUUUAAUAAUUGGGAACUAAAACAGCUAUCAAUGCAGAUUUUAAUUACAAGGCUGAUGUAAAAGUCUCUAAAACUGAUUCGGAAUUGAGGUGUUGGUUUUUGAAACUACGAAUAUUAUAUAAGUCUCAUGCAACCGGUGGUUAACAAUGGAGUUGUAUGGAACUUUAUAGAGGAAGCCGUAUGUUGAAUGUUAUAAUAUGCAACCUUUCGGGUUGCUGUAAAAGUGUAGAGANNNNNNNNNNNNNNNNNNNNNNNNNGGGAGCGAGUGAACGUUAGAUGUAGCUAGAUUUGAUUCUAGCCUCUUCGUCUUAUUUCUAUUGCAUUUAGAUAUGAACUUUGAACUUCGUAGAUAAUCAUUCGUUUAUCUGUUCCUACUUUAUUGUUUCUUUGUACCUACAAUAUCUGUUAGAACAAUUUCGGUUUGUGUUGCAUCAUAAACUUUAGUUUUGCUUAUAGGAUACUUCAGUUGAUUUUAGUUGCAAUUAAAUUGUUAGCCUCAUCUUUCGACUAUUUGGAUUUAAUAGAAAUUUUUCUUUAUGAUCAUCUUUUGUUUGUUAAUUGUCUGACUCUGUAGCCUUGCAUAUUUACUAAUUUAGUAGAUAUGCGGCAUCUGUUAUGCCUCGGGUUUGGGGCGUGACAAAAAAUAUGGUGAAGGGGUUAUCCUAUAUAAAUUAUCCAAACCAACUUUGUAAAGGUUGCAUUUUAGGAAAGCAACAUAGAGAUCCGUUUCCCGAAGAAAAAUUCAUUAGAGCCACAAAGCCUUUAUAGUUGGUUCAUACGGAUUUAUAUGAGAUGGAUAGACGCUCCAUUGGAAAUAAUAAAUAUUUUAUGACUUUCAUUGGUGAUUUUAGUAGAAAAUUUUAGGUUUAUUUUCUAAAAGAAAAAUCAGAAGCUUUUACUGCAUUCCAACAGUUUAAAAUACUUUUUGUAAAAGAGAGCGGGAAUUAUUUGAAAGUUUCACGGUCAGAUGGUGGAAGAUACUAUUUUUCUACAGAAUUUCACGAGUUCUACAAGGCACAUGGAAUUGUGCAUCAAAGUACCGCAGCAUAUUCACCGCAAUAGAACGGCGUGGCAGAAAGAAAAGAUCGCACAAUUGUAAAAAUGACAAGGAGCAUGCUUAUUGAAAAAGGUAUGCCAAAAAAUUUUUGGGUUGAAGCUAUUUCAUGUGCAAUUUAUGUAUUAAACAGAUGUCCAACAAAUAGUGUGGCCAAUAAAACACCUGAAGAAGCAUCAAGUGGAAGAAAACCUAUAGUAGCGCAUUUACGUAUUUUUGGAUGCAUGGCAUAUGCACAUGUUCCAAAGCAAACGAGAAAGAAAUUGGCGACAAAGCAGUCAGGUACGUUUUUAUCGGCUAUACAAAAAAUAUGAAAGCUUAUAAAUUAUAUGAUCCGGUUGUAGAAAAAAUCAUAAUCAGUAUAGAUGUAAAAUUUGAUGAAACUAAAUAAUGGGAUUGGAAAGGAAAAGAAAAGAUAAAUAAAGGCAUUAGCAUUCAAUUUGAAGAUAAUUUCGAGAAUCAAGAAAAGCAUGCAUCGGAUUCUCCUACUACAUCAGCACCCUCGUCGUCAUUAGGUUCUUCGCCUUCUUCUUUGAAGGAAGGUGUUCAAAGAAACCCUCCACGAAAUAUUACAAUGCCCGUAAAAUUGAAAGAUUAUAUUAUUGAUGAUACUGACAACAAUGAUGGUAGUGAUUUAACCCACUAUAUCAUAUUUUUAGAUUGUGAUUCUCUCAGGUUUGAUGAAGCGACGAAAGAAGAAAAGUGGCGUAAAGCCAUGUGUGAUGAAAUCGAGGUGAUCGAGAAAAACAAGACUUGAGAGUUGACAAAACUUCCAGAAGGCCAAAAAGCAAUUGGCAUGAAGUGAGUAUACAAAACCAAGCACAAACAAGACGGAUCGAUCGAUUGCCAUAAAGCUAGACUCGUUGUAAAAGGCUACCGGCAUAUGCCUGGUGUUGAUUUUCACAAGGUGUUUGCUCUCGUUGCCAGUUUGAAGUCGAUGCGGCUUCUAAUUGCUUUAGCAGCGCUAAAACAAUGGAAGAUCCAUCAGAUGAAUGUCAAAUCCACCUUCCUCAACGACUUUCUUGAUGAAUGAGUAUACAUAGAGCAACCGCCAGGAUUUAUACAAUAAGGUGAAGAAAACAAAGUUUACAAAUUGAAAAAAGCAUUGUACGGCUUGAAGCAAGCUCCACGAGCCUGGUACACACGUAUAGAUCUAUAUUUUCAAAAAAUCGAAUUUCGUAAGUGCCAUUGUGAACAUGCUCUUUACAUUAAAAAUAAUUCUAAUAGUAAUGUUUUAUUUGUUUCCUUGACGAUCUUAUCUUUACGGAAAAUAAUUUUGUUAUGAUUGAAGAAUUCAAAAAGAGCAUGACUAAUGAGUUUGAGAUUACUGAUAUAGGUCAUAGAGCUUAUUAUUUGGGCAGCGAAGUUUCACUAAGAGAUGAAGGUAUUUCUAUUUCUCAAAAGAAAUAUGCGGGGGAAAUACUUGAAAAGUUUCAAAUGGGGGAUUGUAAAUCGGUCGUUACCCUAGUUGAGAUCGGAUGAAAUGUCACGCCCCGCGCCCCGAGGUCGCUACCGAUUUGGCACGGUUCGGGCGCGGCAGGCGGACCGCCGAACGGACAGCACCUCCCCUAUCCGCCCAAGGCUAAACAACGAGAUCAUGUACAACAAGUCCCCAGGAAAUCAACUUGAAUACAUACAUGAUCAUGCAACAACAGCGAGAGCACAAACAGUGCUGAACAAUACAAGAGCAAGCGUCACAAGUAGAAGACAUACAAGUGAAACAAAAGAGAGAUACUUAACUAUUCUAUUACAACCAUUCAGCUCGAUACAUUUAAUUACAACUUGCAUUCUUUUCCAAACUAUGAAUAUAAGCUUACAUUCUUCAAAAGAUAAACAUUAGUUUACAUUUAUCUCAAAAUACCUCACAUCCUAUACAUCAUCUACUCUCAAUACAUGUAUAGGGUAACUCUAAUGCAAAAUAGGAAAGUAAACUAUCAACUAGCACUAGGGCGCUAAGCCCAUAACGCGAUCCUCUGCCGAUCCGCUCUCGUGUGUACCUGUACCCCAAAACCACACGGGGUGAGAACUAUAUAAAUAUAGUUCCCAGUGGGUUCGGCCGCCGACUCCGCCGAUCUUCCCACUAGGUCCAAGCUGGCACAGAUAGAUAGAUAGAAAGAUAUAUGGAAAUACUACUACUAUAUCUACUAUGCCAUCAAAUGCAAAGUAUGCAUGGAACAUCAUCUAGCAACAAUCUACUAUCAUGCUAAUAUGCCUCAACAGUGAAAUAAAUACAACAACAACAUAGUUAUGCAAUGCACUAUGUCUAAUCAAGGUAUGAAUGCAAUACUCUUAUGCUAUUCAUGUUAUUACCCAAUCCGCUAGGCUAACUUGCCUAAGAUCUCAAAUCUAGUAGGUGAAGAGCUACCUCACUCUUGUCUCACUCGACUCAUAUCUCAAAGGUCUGACCCAAUCUCGUGAGUCCCAGGCAAAGAGCUACCCCGCCCCUCGCCCGACUCACAUCUCAAGGUCCUAGGCAAAGGCUACCCCGCACUUUGCCCGACUCACAUCUCGACCUACUAGGUACAGGGCUACUCCACUCAAAUCUCAUAGGUGAACAACAACAACAACUAUGGAAGCAAGCUAUCAUGAACAACAAUAAUGAGUAUGACUCAAUAGGUACUCAAAUCUCAUAGGUGAACAACAACAACAACUAUGGAAGCAAGCUAUCAUGAACAACAAUAAUGAGUAUGACUCAAUAGGUACUCAAAUCUCAUAGGUGAAGGAAUAGUAUAUCAUGAAGGCAUGAGCAAUAAGUAAGCUACUAUGAACACUAGUAAGCUACUAUGAACAACAACAACAACUAUGGAAGCAAGCUAUCAUGAACAACAAUAAUGAGUAUGACUCAAUAGGUACUCAAAUCUCAUAGGUGAAGGAAUAGUAUAUCAUGAAGGCAUGAGCAAUAAGUAAGCUACUAUGAACACUAGUAAGCUACUAUGAACAACAACAACAACUAUGGAAGCAAGCUAUCAUGAACAACAAUAAUGAGUAUGACUCAAUAGGUAACCAAAUCUCGUGGUGAACACAAGGUUCACAAGCAAGGCUCACAUAUCAAUCUCCGAGGGAUGCCUAGCUGGUCGAUCCCCGAGUACGCCUGCGGAUAACAAGCGGCUAUCCGAGCAGCAAGCAGGGCUGCCUCUCUAGUGACCAAACUCCGGAGCGCACAACUUGAGGGGAGCGACCCCACCAAGCGCAGACAGGCAAUGUGAGCGUGAUCAUCUCACGAGCAACAGCAACCUACCCUCUAAGGGUAAUCUCAUCAUGGAAUCAAGGUGUUCUUGUACCCAAUCUCAUAGUGUUUCAACUACACUAAGGUUCUCAUGUCAAGGUUAUCAACAAUCAUAUGCCACUCAUCAUAGUUUUCUAAACUAGAUGCCACUCGACAUUUAGACUCAUUUCAACACUAGUUACAUCAUACUAGUUCUUUAGCAACAUAAGCAUUAAUCACCUCACAUAGGGUCUAGGUCUUUAUCAUAAAGUUUUCAUCAUAUAAUCAUCAUGCAUACUAGAUCAUGGAUCAAUCAUCAAGAUGUAUAGCUACUAGCAUGCAAAUAUGAGCAAUGACCACAAUCAUUUAGCAUCUAAAUGCAAUAAAUACAAUAUGCAACUUAAUCGAUUAAUGCACUCAACAAAGUUUAAUCCACAUUAAUCAUGCCCUUAUAGGGUUUCACCACACUAAGUCCCAAUCUCAUGCAUACUAGGUACAAGUAUUAAUCAAGUAACACUACACUCCCACUAGCAUGCCAUGACAUGUAACAAUUGCCAACUAGUACCCUAUAAUGCAAUAUCCCAAUAUGCAACUUGAUCAACGUUAACUAGAGUUUCUAGUACAACAACCAAUCCAUUACUAGUUCAAGUCAUAUGUGUUUUUAGCACAAUAAGUUCAAUGCCACUUGUAAACUAUGUCUUUAAACACAACACUAGGUUCUUCUCUCAUUUAGCAUCAUAGGUUUACCAAUGUCAUCUCAUAAUCCUUAUGUUCAUUACAUCAUAUAUCCAUAUCAUAGUACUAUAUUGAUCAUAAACAUCAUAUAAGGAUUAGGAAUGUAUGUAUUGUCAUCCUAUAAUGCGAGGUAUCGAUAUACAAUAUGCUACAUGUGAAUGGAUAAGCACUAAGACAUAGGAAGAAGCCCGAUUGCUUCGGGAUGGCACUCCCCCACCUUUUAUCGCGUUCCGAUUGCUCGUCGUCACUCGCAAUCGGCCUCCCGCGGCGCACGCCGCUCGGCUCGACCCAAUCCGCGCGCAACCACCAAACGACCUCCGAUCCGCAAUCCGAAAAUUAAAGGUCUUCGGUUUCUUGGUACGAUGCUUCAAAUCCGUUUUCUGGAUUUUACGACGUCGCCUCAGCCCUCCAGGCGGAAACGAAGCCUAACGUCCGUUUGAGCUCAAACUUGACAGUCAUGUUCAGUUUUACUUAACUUAACAAGCUGACGAUCACUGGUUCAGUUUCGACCCCGUUUGGUCACUGAAAACUGUACCGAACUGCAAUCUUUAUCAGAUAGCUUUCGGAUUUUAUUUCUCACUCUACGGGUGUCAGAAAAAUAUGAAACCUUAAAUCUAGCCUUAUAAAUAUAUUUCUGACUUAUCCUCCAAUUUUUAUAAUUUUCUGAGACUGUGCAUUUUCUGCUAAUUUAUCUGCCCCGUUUCCAACAGAAAAUUCUAAAUCUUCUGUUUUAAUUCCGAUUUCAGCACAGGUCAUUCCCAACUUAUAUUUCACUUCUCUAAAUUCAAUAAAAAUAGUAUCUCAUACUAUUUUUAUUUAUUUCUAUUUUUUUAUAUUUAAAUCCGGUAUAUUACAUUACACCGCAACCUUACCGGAACCAUUCAAAUGGCUCUCCAACCAAAUGGACACCGUAACUCAUAAUUUUAGAAGUCCGGUACCUUACAUGAAAGCUCAACAAGAAAGGUGACAGAAAGCCUGUUAAUCCCACAUAUUUUAAACAGUUAGUGGGAAGCUUGCGCUACUUAAC